RNAcentral lists this long non-coding RNA (45226 nucleotides) under Triticum aestivum (bread wheat). RNAcentral describes it as "long non-coding RNA (TAES_LNC018589)". The record is from RNAcentral. Lineage: Eukaryota; Viridiplantae; Streptophyta; Magnoliopsida; Poales; Poaceae.
UGCUUAAGUCUGUUCGAAUCAUGUUAGCAAUUGCCACAUUUUAUGAUUAUGAAAUUUGGCAAAUGGAUGUCAAAACUGCAUUCCUUAAUGGAUAUCUUAAAGAAGAGUUGUAUAUGAUGCAACCAGAAGGUUUUGUCGAUCCUAAAGGUGCUAACAAAGUGUGCAAGCUCCAGCGAUCCAUUUAUGGACUGGUGCAAGCAUCUCGGAGUUGAAAUAUACGCUUUGAUAAUGUGAUCAAAGCAUAUGGUUUUAUACAGACUUUUGGAGAAGCCUGUAUUUACAAGAAAGUGAGUGGGAGCUCCGUAGCAUUUCUAAUAUUAUAUGUAGAUGACAUAUUGUUGAUUGGAAAUGAUACAGAAUUUCUGGAUAGCAUAAAAGGAUAGUUGAAUAAGAAUUUUUCAAUAAAAGACCUCGGUAAAGCUGCUUAUAUAUUGGGCAUCAAGAUCUAUAGAGAUAGAUCAAGACGCUUAAUUGGAAUUACAAAGCACAUACCUUGAUAAAGUUUUGAAGAAGUUCAAAAUGGACCAGUCAAAGAAAGGGUUCUUGCUUGUGUUACAAGGUGUGAAAUUGAGUCAGACUCAAUGCCCGACCACUGCAGAAGAUAGAGAGAAAAUGAAAGUCAUUCCCUAUGCCUCAGCCAUUGGUUCUAUCAUGUAUGCAAUGCUGUGUACCAUACCUGAUGUGUGCCUUGCUAUAAGUUGAGGUACCAAAGUAAUCUAGGAGUGGAUCACUGGACAACGGUCAAGAACAUCCUGAAAUACCUGAAAAGGACUAAGGAUAUGUUUCUCGUUUAUGGAGGUGACAAAGAGCUUGUCGUAACUGGUUAUGUCGAUGCAAGCUUUGACACUGAUCCGGAUGACUCUAAGUCACGAACCGGAUACGUAUUUAUAUUGAAUGGUGGAGCUGUCAAUUGGUGCAGUUCCAAGCAGAGCGUCGUGGCGGGAUCUACGUGUGAAGCGGAGUACAUAGCUGCUUCGGAACCAGCAAAUGAAGGAGUCUGGAUGAAGGAGUUCAUAUCCGAUCUAGGUGUAAUACCUAGUGCAUCGGGUCCAAUGAAAAUCUUUUCUGACAAUACUGGAGCAAUUGCCUUGGCGAAGGAAUCCAGAUUUCACAAGAGAACCAAACACAUCAAGAGACGCUUCAAUUCCAUCCGCGAUCAAGUCAAGGAGGGAGACAUAGAGAUUUGCAAAAUACAUACGGAUCUUAAUGUUGCAGACCCAUUGACUAAGCCUCAUCCACGAGCUAAACAUGAUCAACACCAAGACUCCAUGGGUGUUAGAAUCAUUACUAUGUAAUCUAGAUUGUUGACUCUAGUGCAAGUGGGACUGAAGGAAAUAUGCCCUAGAGGCAAUAAUAAAGUUGUUAUUUAUAUUUCCUUAUAUCAUGAUAAACGUUUAUUACUCAUGCUAGAAUUGUCUUAACCGGAAACUUAGUACAUGUGUGAAUACAUAGACAAAACAGAGUGUCCCUAGUAUGCCUCUACUUAACUAGCUCGUUGAUCAAAGAUGGUUAUGUUUCCUGACCAUAGACAUGUGUUGUCAUUUGAUGAACGGGAUUGCUACCUCUUGAGCACUGCGUUGGUUUUCCCUUGAAGAGGAAAGGGUGAUGCAGUAAAGUAGCGUAAGUAUUUCCCUCAGUUUUUGAGAACCAAGGUAUCAAUCCAGUAGGAGAUCACGCUUGAGUCCCACGCACCUACACAAACAAACAAGAACCUCGCAACCAACGCGAUAAAGGGGUUGUCAAUCCCUUCACGGUCACUUACGAGAGUGAGAUCUGAUAGAUAUGAUAAGAUAAUAUUUUUGGUAUUUUUAUAAUAAAGAUGCAAAGUAAAAUAAACGGCAAUGGAAAUAACUAAGUGUUGGAAGAUUAAUAUGAUGGAAAAUAGACCCCGGGGCCAUAGGUUUCACUAGUGGCUUCUCUCAAGAGCAUAAGUAUUACGGUGGGUAAACGAAUUACUGUCGAGCAAUUGAUAGAAUUGAGCAUAGUUAUGAGAAUAUCUAGGUAUGAUCAUGUAUAUAGGCAUCACGUCCGCGACAAGUAGACCGACUCCUGCCUGCAUCUACUACUAUUACUCCACACAUCGACCGCUAUCCAGCAUGCAUCUAGAGUAUAAGUUCAUAAGAACAUAGUAAUGCUUUAAGUAAGAUGACAUGAUGUAGAGGGAUAAACUCAUGCAAUAUGAUAUAAACCCCAUCUUUUUAUCCUCGAUGGUAACAAUACAAUACGUGUCGUUUCCCUUGCUGUCACUGGGAUCGAGCACCGCAAGAUUGAACCCAAAGCUAAGCACUUCUCCCAUUGCAAGAAACAUCAAUCUAGUAGGCCAAACCAAACUGAUAAUUCGAAGAGACUUGCAAAGAUAACCAAUCAUACAUAAAAUAAUUCAGAGGAGAUUCAAAUAUUGUUCAUAGAUAAACUUGAUCAUAAACCCACAAUUCAUCGGAUCUCGACAAACACACCGCAAAAGAAGAUUACAUCGAAUAGAUCUCCAAGAAGAUCGAGGAGAACAUGGUAUUGAGAUCCAAAGAGAGAGAAGAAGCCAUCCAGCUAAUAACUAUGGACCCGAAGGUCUGAGGUAAACUACUCACACAUCAUUGGAGAGGCUAUGGUGUUGAUGUAGAAGCCCUCCAUGAUCAAUGCCCCCUCCGGCCGAGCACCGGAAAAGGCCCCAAGAUGGCAUCUCACGGGUACAGAAGGUUGCGGCGGUGGAAAUAGGGGUUUGGCUCCGUAUCUGAUCGUUUGGGGGUACGUAGGUAUAUAUAGGAUGAAGAAGUACGUCCGUGGAGCAACAUCGGCCCCACGAGGGUGGAGGGCGCGCCUGGGGGGGUAGGCAUGCCCCCCUGCCUCGUGCUCUCCGCGUUGAUUGCUUUGCGUAGACUCCAAGUCCUUUGGAUCACGUUUGUUUCGAAAAUCACGUUCCCGAAGGUUUCAUUCCGUUUGGACUCCGUUUGAUAUUCCUUUUCUGCGAAACACUGGAAUAGGCAAAAAAACUGCAAUUUGGGUUGGGCCUCCGGUUAAUAGGUUAGUCCCAAAAAUAAUAUAAAAGUGUAUAAUAAAGCCCAUUAAACAUCCAAAACAGAAUAUAAUAUAGCAUGGAACAAUAAAAAAUUAUAGAUACGUUGGAGACGUAUCAAGCAUCCCCAAGCUUAAUUCCUGCUCGUCCUCGAGUAGGUAAAUGAUAAAAAUAGAAUUUUUGAUGUGGAAUGCUACUUAGCAUAAUUUUCAAUGUAAUUCUUCUUAUUGUGGCACGAAUGUUCAGAUUCGAUAUGAUUCAAGAUAAAAGUUUAAUGUUGACAUAAAAAUAAUAAUACUUCAAGCAUGCUAACCAAGCAAUUAUGUCUUAUCAAAAUAACAUAGCCAAAGCAAGUUAUCCCUACAAAAUCAUAUAGUCUGGCUAUGCUCCAUCUUCACCCCACAAAGUAUUCAUAUCAUGUACAUCCCCGGUUUUAGCCAAGCAAUUGGUUCAUACUUUUUAACGCGCUUCAUCCUUUUCAACUUUUACGCAAUACAUGAGCGCAAGCCAUGGAUAUAGCACUAUGGUGGAAUAUGGUAUAAUGAUAGGGGUUAUGUGGGAAGACAAAAAAGGAGAAAGUCUGACAUCGACGAGGCUAAUCAACAGGCUAUGGAGAUGCCCAUCAAUUGACGUCAAUGCAAGGAGUAGGGAUUGCCAUGCAACGGAUGCACUAGAGCUAUAAGUGUAUGAAAGCUCAACAAAAGAAACUAAGUGGGUGUGCAUCCAACUUGCUUGCUCACGAAGACCUCGGGCAUUUUGAGGAAGCCCAUCAUUGGAAUAUACAAGCCAAGUUCUAUAAUGAAAUUUCCCACUAGUAUAUGAAAGUGACAAAAUGAGAGACUCUCUAUCAUGAAGAUCACGGUGCUACUUUGAAGCACAAGUGUGGUAAAAGGAUAGUAACAUUGUCCCUUCUCUCUUUUUCUCUCAUUUUUUUGGGCCUUUUCUCUUUUUUUGGCCUCUUUUCUCUUUUUUUUAUUUAGUCCGGAGUCUCAUCCCGACUUGUGGGGGAAUCAUAGUCUCCAUCAUCCUUUCCUCACUUGGGACAAUGCUCUAAUAAUGAUGAUCAUCACACUUUUAUUUACUUACAACUCAUGAAUUACAACUCGAUACUUGGAACAAGAUAUGACUCUAUGUGAAUGCCUCCGGUGGUGUACCUUGAUAUGCAAUGAAUAAAGAGUGACAUGUAUGAAAGAAUUAUGAACGGUGGCUUUGCCACAAAUACGAUGUCAACUACAUGAUUAUGCAAAGCAAUAUGACAAUGAUGGAGCCUGUCAUGAUAAACGAAACGGUGGAAAGUUGCAUGGCAAUAUAUCUCGGAAUGGCUAUGGAAAUGCCAUAAUAGGUAGGUAUGGUGGCUGUUUUGAGGAAGGUAUAAGGAGGUUUAUGUGUGAUAGAGCGUGUCAUAUCAUGGGGUUUGGAUGCACCGGCGAAGUUUGCACCAACUCUCAAGGUGAGAAAGGGCAAUGCACGGUACCGUAGAGGCUAGAAAAUAGCGGAAAGAUAAGUGUGCAUAUAAUCCGUGGACUCACAUUAGUCAUAAAGAACUCAUAUACUUAUUGCAAAAGUUUAUGAGCCCUCGAAGCAAAGUACUAGUACGCAUGCUCCUAGGGGAAGGGUUGGUAGGAGUUAACCAUCGCGCGAUCCCGACCGCCACACAAAGGAUGACAAUCAAUAAAUACCUCAUGCUCCGACUUCGUUACAUAACGGUUCACCAUACGUGCAUGCUACGGGAAUCACAAAAUCCAACACAAGUAUUUCUCAAUUUCACAAUUACUCAACUAGCACAACUAUGAUAUUACCACCUCUAUAUCUCAAAACAAUUAUCAAGCAUCAAAUCUCUCAUGAUAUUAUAAUUAAAGCAAAUUGCCAUGCUGUUUUAAGGCUCUCAAAUUAAUAUAAGUGAAGCAUGAGAGAUCAAUAGUUUCUAUAAAACAAAUCCACCACCGUGCUCUAAAAAAUAUAAGUGAAGCACUAGAGCAAAAACUAUAUAGCUCAAAAAAUAUAAGUGAAGCACAUAGAGUAUUCUAAUAAAUUCUGAAUUAUGUGUGUCUCGCUCAAAAGGUGUGUACAGCAAGGAUGAUUGUGGUAAACUAAAAAGCAAAGACUCAAAUCAUACAAGACGCUCCAAGCAAAACACAUAUCAUGUGGUGAAUAAAAAUAUAGCUCCAAGUAAAGUUACCGAUGGAAGUAGACGAAAGAGGGGAUGCCUUCCGGGGCAUCCCCAAGAUUUGGCUUUUGGUGUCCUUAGAUUAUCUUGGGGUGCCAUGGGCAUCCCCAAGCUUAGGCUCUUGCCACUCCUUGUUUCAUAAUCCAUCAAAUCUUUACCCAAAACUUUAAAACUUCACAACACAAAACUUAACAGAAAAUCUCGUGAGCUCCGUUAGCGAAAGAAAACAAAACACCACUUCAAGGUACUGUAUUGAACUCAUUCUUUAUUUAUAUUGGUGUUAAACUUACUGUAUUCCAACUUCUCUAUGGUUUAUAAACUAUUUUACUAGCCAUAGAUUCAUCAAAAUAAGCAAACAACACAUGAAAAACAGAAUCUGUCAAAAACAGAACAGUCUGUAGUAAUCUGUAACUAACGCAAACUUAUGUAACUCAAAACAUUCUACCAAAAUAGUACGACUUAGACAAUUUGUUUAUUGAUCAGCAGCAAUUGGAAUCAAUAUUUUAUCACGUUCUGGUGAUUUUAAACAAUUGUUUUCGUGAACAGAAAGUUUCUGGAAUUUUCAGCAAGAUCAAAUAACUAUCAUCCAAGAAGAUCCUAUAGGUUUCACUUGGCACAAACAUUAAUUAAAACAUAAAAACAAAUCUAACCAGAGGUUAGAUCAAAUAUUUAUUCCUAAACAGAAGCAAAAAGCAAAAAAUAAAAUAAAAUUGGGUUGCCUCCCAACAAGCACUUUUUUUAAAGCCUUUUUAGCUAGGCAUUGAGAUUUCAAUGAUGCUCACAUAAAAGAUAAGAAUUAAAGCGCAAAAAGAGCAUCAUAAAACACGUGACAAACACAUCUAAGUCUAACAUACUUCCUAUGCAUAGGCAUUUUAUAAGCAAACAAAUUAUCAUAGCAAGCAAAAAUUAGCAUAUGCAAGGAAGAACAAAGAGACGAUAGCAAUCUCAACAUGACGAGAGGUAAUUUAGUAAGAUAAAAAUUUCUACAACCAUAUUUUCCUCUCUCAUAAUAAUUAGAUGUGGGAUCAUAAGCAAAUUCAACAAAAUAGAUAUCACAUAAAAUUCUCUCUACAUGAUCCAUAUGCAUGCAAAGUUGACACUCUUCCAAAAUAGUGGGAUUAACAUUAACUAAAGUCAUGACCUCUCCAAACCCACUUUUAUCGAAAAUACCAUAAGAUUGAACAUUCUCCAAAUACGUGGGAUCUAAAGUUGACACUCUUCCAAACCCACUUUCAAUAUUAUUGCAAACGCUAUUAUCAAUCUCAUAUUCAUCAUGGGGCUUAAAUAAAUUCUCAAGAUCAUAAGAAGAAUCACCCCAAUCAUGAUCAUUGCAACAAGUAGUAGACAUAGCAAAACUAGCAUCCCCAAGCUUAGGGUUUUGCAUAUUAUUAGCACAACUGACAUCAAGAGAAUUUAUAAAAAAAAUCAUUGCAAUCAUGCUUUUUAUUCAAGGAGCUAUCGUGAAUCUCUUCAUAAAUUUCUUCAUCACAAUUUUCAGAUUCACGAAUUUCAAGCAAAACCUCAUAAAGAUAAUCUAGUGCACAAACUUACUAGCAAUUGGUUCAUCAUAAUUGGAUCUUUUAAAAAGAUUACCAAGAGGAUGAGGAUCCAUAGAUCUUUUAGCAAGCGAAGAUGCAAGCAAAAAGAAGGCACAUGGUAACACAAGAUCGAAUGGAAGGAGGCGAACGGAAAAGAGGGCGAAUAAAACGGCAAGGGUGAAGUGGGGGAGAGGAAAACAAGAGGCAAAUGGCAAAUAAUGUAAUGCGAGGGAGAAUAGUUUGUGAUGGGUACUUGGUAUGUCUUGACUUGUGCGUAGAUUCCGGCAACGGAGCCAGAAAUGGCUCGUUGGCAGGAAAUUAAAUCUAGACUUGACUUGGCGCGAAUCUCCCCGGCAACGGCGCCAGAAAUCCUUCUUGCUACCUCUUGAGCACUGCGUUGGUUUUCCCUUGAAGAGGAAAGGGUGAUGCAGUAAAAUAGCGUAAGUAUUUCCCUCAGCUUUUGAGAACCAAGGUAUCAAUCCAGUAGGAGAUCACGCUCGAGUCCCACGCACCUACACAAACAAACAAGAACCUCGCAACCAACGCGAUAAAGGGGUUGUCAAUCCCUUCACGGUCACCUACGAGAGUGAGAUCUGAUAGAUAUGAUAAGAUAAUAUUUUUGGUAUUUUUAUAAUAAAGAUGCAAAGUAAAAUAAACGGCAAUGGAAAUAACUAAGUGUUGGAAGAUUAAUAUGAUGGAAAAUAGACCCGGGGGCCAUAGGUUUCACUAGUGGCUUCUCUCAAGAGCAUAAGUAUUACGGUGGGUAAACGAAUUACUGUCGAGCAAUUGAUAGAAUUGAGCAUAGUUAUGAGAAUAUCUAGGUAUGAUCAUGUAUAUAGGCAUCACGUCCGCGACAAGUAGACCGACUCCUGCCUGCAUCUACUACUAUUACUCCACACAUCGACCGCUAUCCAGCAUGCAUCUAGAGUAUUAAGUUCAUAAGAACAGAGUAAUGCUUUAAGUAAGAUGGCAUGAUGUAGAGGGAUAAACUCAUGCAAUAUUAUAUAAACCCCAUCUUUUUAUCCUCGAUGGCAACAAUACAAUACAUGUCGUUUCCCUUGCUAUCACUGGGAUCGAGCACCGCAAGAUUGAACCCAAAGCUAAGCACUUCUCCCAUUGCAAGAAAGAUCAAUCUAGUAGGCCAAACCAAACUAAUAAUUCGAAGAGACUUGCAAAGAUAACCAAUCAUACAUAAAAGAAUUCAGAGGAGAUUCAAAUAUUGUUCAUAGAUAAACUUGAUCAUAAACCCACAAUUCAUCGGAUCUCGACAAACACACCGCAAAAGAAGAUUACAUCGAAUAGAUCUCCAAGAAGAUCGAGGAGAACAUGGUAUUGAGAUCCAAAGAGAGAGAAGAAGCCAUCUAGCUAAUAACUAUGGACCCGAAGGUCUGAGGUAAACUACUCACACAUCAUUGGAGAGGCUAUGGUGUUGAUGUAGAAGCCCUCCGUGAUCAAUGCCCCCUCCGGCGGAGCGCCAGAGAAGGCCCCAAGAUGGGAUCUCAUGGGUACAGAAGGUUGCGGCGGUGGAAAUAGGGUUUUGGCUCCGUAUCUGGUCGUUUGGGGGUACGUAGGUAUAUAUAGGAGGAAGAAGUACGUCGGAGGAGCAACAUGGGCCCCAUGAGGGUGGAGGGCGCGCCUGGGGGAGGGGGGGUAGGCGUGCCCCCCUGCCUAGUGCUCUCCAUGUUGAUUGCUUUGCGUAGACUCCAAGUCCUCUGGAUCACGUUCCCGAAGGUUUCAUUCCGUUUGGACUCCUUUUGGUAUUCCUUUUCUACGAAGCACUGAAAUAGGCAAAAAAACAGCAAUCUGGGCUGGGCCUCCGGUUAAUAGGUUAGUCCCAAAAAUAAUAUAAAAGUGUAUAAUAAAGCCCAUUAAACAUCCAAAACAGAAUAUAAUAUAGCAUGUAACAAUCAAAAAUUAUAGAUGCGUUGGAGACGUAUCAGGGAUCACAUCAUUAGAGAAUGAUGUGAUGGACAAGACCCAUCCGUUAGCUUAGCAUAAUGAUCGUGUAGUUUUAUUGCUAUUGCUUUCUUCAUGACUUAUACAUGUUCCUCUGACUAUGAGAUUAUGCAACUCCGAAUACCAGAGGAACACCUUGUGUGCUAUCAAACGUCACAACGUAACUGGGUGAUUAUAAAGAUGUUCUACAGGUGUCUCUGAAGGUGCUUGUUGGGUUGGCAUAGAUCAAGAUUAGGAUUUGUCACUCCGUGUAUCGGAGAGGUAUCUCUGGGCCCUCUCGGUAAUGCACAUCACUAUAGGCCUUGCAAGCAAUGUGACUAAUAAGUUAGUUACGGGAUGAUGCAUUACGGAACGAGUAAAGAGACUUGCCNNNNNNNNNNGUAACGAGAUUAAACUAGGUAUGAGGAUACCGACGAUCGAAUCUCGGGCAAGUAACAUACCGAUGACAAAGGGAAUGACGUAUGUUGUUAUGCGGUUUGACCGAUAAAGAUCUUCAUAGAAUAUGUAGGAGCCAAUAUGAGCAUCCAUGUUCCGCUAUUGGUUAUUGACCGGAGAUGUGUCUCGGUCAUGUCUACAUAGUUCUUGAACCCGUAGGGUCCGCACGCUUAACGUUCGAUGACGAUUUGUAUCAUGAGUUGUGUGUUUUGGUGACCGAAGUUUGUUCGGAGUCCCGGAUGAGAUCACGGAGAUGACGAGGAGACUCAAAAUAGUCGAGAGGUAAAGAUUGAUAUAUUGGAAGGUUAUAUACGGACACUGGAAUGGUUCUGAAGAAGAUCGGGGAUUUUUCGGAGUACCGGGAGGUUACCGGAACCCCCCGUGAAAGUUAAUGGGCCUCAUGGGCCAUGGUGGAGAAGAGGAUGCAGGCCACGGGAGGUGGCGCACGCCUCCCCCUUGCCCAAUCCAAAUUGGACAAGGGGUGUGGGCACGCCCCCCCCCNNNNNNNNNNCCCCCCCCCUUUCCUUCUCCUUCUCCCCUGUUUCCCCUUUCCCCUCUCCGUUGGAAGGAAGGGGGUGAAACCUACUAGGAGUGGAGUCCUAGUAGGACUCCCCCCCUUGGCGCGCCUCCUCCUGGCCCGCCGGCCUCCUCCCCCUCUCCUUUAUAUACGAGGGCGGGGGGGACCCCAAAGGCACACCAAGAAUUCUCUUAGCCGUGUGCGGUGCCCCCAUCCACAGUUUACUCCUCCGGUCAUAGCGUCGUAGUGCUUAGGCGAAGCCCUGCACGGAUCACAUCAUCAACACCGUCACCACGCCGUCAUGUUGACGGAACUCUCCCUCGACCAUCUACUGGAUCAAGAGUUCGAGGGACGUCAUCGAGCUGAACGUGUGCUGAACAUGCAGGUGCCGUACGUUCGAUACUUGGAUCGGUUGGAUCCUGAAGACGUUCGACUACAUCAACCGCGUUAACCUAACGCUUCCGGUUUCGGUCUACGAGGGUAUGUGGACACACUCUCCCUAGCGCUUUGAGCGGCACUAGCCGUCGGUACCCCAGCCCAAUUUUUGGCCGACCGUGUGUGAGCCCUCCGAUUCAACCCGUAACAACCAUUAGAUUAGGAUGCAUCGCAGCAGGAAAAAAUGUCGACGCAAAAUAAUUGUCUGUUUCUCAUCCCCACACAGUCCACGAGCGAUUCGCACGCCAAAUCACUGCCGCUGUGCUUCAUGGCCGGCAACGCCCCCUUACCGGACUGGUAGAUACCUCUCACAGGACCUCCAGUGAUAUCGCUCGACGGAGCUCAUGUAGACAAAGCUCACCCUCGAGGAACCGCUCGCAGCUGGUCACAAUCUCCCGUCGUUGAAGCACACACCGUUGCCGAUCUAGUAUAUAGCACCGCUAGCUGCAACUCCGCGGGCAUGUGCUUACAGUCGUGAUGGCAACAUGCGUCUCCGGUUGUAGCAAAAAAUUCAUUAUUGAUCCCACAUCCUCCGGUAAAAAGUUACUAUUGCCAAAAUAAAAUGCUAUAAUUGGCGAAUCAAAAAGAUGCUACUACCAAAAAGGGGAUUGAUGCGACCGGCGAAAUCAAAAGUUGGAACCUGCGACGCAAAAUGCUACUAUCAGCAAAAAAAUUGGUGAAUCAAAAGUUGGUGAUGCUUGAUGAAAUUGCUGUGAUGGCUGAAAUAAAAAGCUGGAAUCGACAAAUCAAAAGGCUGCAACCGGCUAAAUAAAAAACAAAGCCAUAGCAGGAGCACGCCGCCUUGAAAAAAUGGUGUUGCAUCCGCAGGGGUGUGCGUGCUUCAUCGCGUCGAGAUCGCAGAGGGGGAGCAGCUCGUCGUCCAUGGACUCCCUCGUUUGUAGCAAUGGCAACAUGUGGCGAGAGCAACACCUUGCAUCAGAGGAGGGGGAUUGGGCACAAUGAUGUUGAACUGGGGGCACGCACGAGGGACAACAGCUUGCAGCAGUGGCGCGCAAGGCAACAACUUCCUCGUUGAGAGGGUAUAGAGAUAGAGAUAGAGAAGGAGAUGUGUGGAUGGAGGAAGAAGAAAAGAAGUGGAGGAGAGCAUCACAACCAGCGAAGGGAUAAGGUCAAGGGGAGAUAGCGACACUUGUGGCCCACAUCGCAUGCGUGCAAGUGAGAGCGACCGACCGAGUGCUCGGCUGGUCAUCCCAUCACAAUCAUUUACCUAGCGCUUUAAAUGGGAUUAUGAUUUUGUGUGAUCCUUGUGCUCUUAGUGGGAAUCCUAAUUUCCAACGAAGGGAUAAGGUCAAGGGAGAUAGCAACACAUGUCCCCCACAUCGCACGCGUGCGAGCGAGAGUGACCGGCCGAGUGUCGGUUGGUCGUCCCAUCACAAUCAUUUACCUAUCGCUUUUGGGAUCAUGAUUUUGUGUGAUCCUAAUUUACCCUCUUAAUGGGAAUCCUAAUUGGUGUGUGGGCACGGGCAGGUAAGCAUUAACUAUGAUUAUUUUUCCCUUCACGAAAGCAGUUUUCAUACUUGAUGUUGACGCAGAGUAUGUUUGCAGUUUUGUAGGCAAAAAAUUCACGCUGAAGCCGAGAAUUAAACUCAAAACUUCAACACUAAUCUCUUAGCCAAUUUGCCAACUCCCCCUGUUUGGUUCUUCUAGUUGAAAGAUAAAAGCACUAUUUGACCAUUCGCCUCUUCUUAUAGUGCAUGAAUAUUAAUUCCAAACACUGUUUCAAAUAUACCCGGUAAUUCUCUGUGUAAAAGAUGGUAAUUUACGCACCACAGACUUGAUAACAUACGUACAAACACCAUAUUAACUUUGACCUUGAGGAGUUAUUGACACAUACCCCAAGUAACUUCUAUAUACUCACAUGGUGAUUUAUGCACCAUGGACCUGAUAAUUUAUGUAUAGAUGACAUGAUAAUUUUCACCUGAAAAAAAGAGGUUGAAACAUACCAUUGUAACUUCUGCAUAAAUAACAUGCUAAUUUAUGUACCACGGACCGGAUAACUUACGUGUAAACAACGUGGUAACUCUAAUCUGGGGAAAUAAUUUUUUUUGAAACAUAUCCCUGGUAACUUAUGUGUAAACAUUAUGGUAAUUACGCGCUAUAGACCUAAUAACUUAUGUAUAAACACCACAGUAACUUCGACCCAAGGAAAUGUUUUGUUGAAACAUACCUCCGGUACCUUCUGUGUAAAUAGGAUGCUAAUUUAUGGACUGGAAACAUGGCAACUUACAUAACACCGUGGAAACUUCCUCGGGGGGGUUGAACAUACCCCGCUAACUCAUGUGUAACUGGUAUGGUAAUUUACGCACCAUAGAUUUGAUAACUUGCAUAUAAACACCACGAUACCUUUGACCCGAUUUUUUUAAUUGAAAUAUAUCCCCAUUAACUUAUACAUAAAUUACAUGGUAAUCUAAGCACCACAAAUCUGAUAACUUAUGUUAAAACAUUGUCGUAACUUCCACCGGGGUAAAAGUGAUUAAAACAUGCCCCAAUAACCUAUGUGUAAAGUUACCGGUCCUCUCAUGCUAUAGUUAUCGGUUUUCUCAUGUUAUAGGUAUCAGGAGGCUCAUGUUAAAGUUACUAGGAUGCUCAUGCCAUAGUUAUCAUGCUGCUCAUGCCAGAGUUAUCAAAGCAAAAAUUAACUUUUUUGCUGACAUGAUAGGAAGAAGAAGGGGCCAAAUACCCUUUUUUCAUGUAUGGUGGACAACAAGUAAAGGUGGUUGAGUUGGUUAUUUGGCUAGUAGCUAUUCAAUAGACUUGGGUUCAAGUCCUCCUUCCAGCAGUUCAUUUCUUUUUUAUAUCUCUUUUGUGACUAGAAAGGAAUACGAUGAAGAACACCGGUGAUUUAGUGUUGGCACAUGCGGCUUUCGGAAGAAGGGAGAAAAUCAGGGGGCAUGCGCAUGCGCGGGACAUAGGAUAGCGACCGGGUAGAAAACGGGUCAUUUGUAUUUGUCCCUAUAAUUGGAACGAUCACCAGUUAGUCCGGUCCAAUAAGAAAAGAGUGACCUACAUUGACUGCAAGGAUAUUUCUAUGACCGUUCCACCUCCACCCAAUGUCAUGAUCGCACUAGGAAUCCAUAAUUUAUUAAUUGGUGCUGCGAUCAUCCUUCAUUGAUGUCUUCUUCCACCUCCACCCAAUGCCAUGACCUUUGCACUAGGAAUAAAUAAUUUAUUAACUAGCAUAGUGGCCAAGUAGAGCCUUUUCGUAUUUGGGGUCAAUAGAUUUAACUUGGAAAAUAUGAUUUAUAUGUAACAAAAGAUAGUACUUUGGAAACUAAUUUUAAAUAUGAACCCAACAAUAUUUUUUAGCAUAUGACUUAAAUUUAUGGUCAAAAUUUGACCUAAAAUACGACGAAGACUAAUAAACCUGAACAAGGUGGUGCAUUUUUUCUUAAUCAACGAUUGAGGAGGGAGUCGAGGCAUAAAAGAAGUCGCCAACUCGAUUUGAUCUCGAUCAAAGGUACUCCCUUCUUUCUGUUUUAAAUGGCUCACGUGUGUCCUAGAUCAAUAAUUUACCGUUGUUAUAGAAAGUUAGAAUGACCAGUGUUAUAGAAAGCUAGAAUUUGGCAAAUCUUAGCGCUCACGUACUAGUUUCUAGACUGCAUCAUGCACUUGCACUGACAAAUGUUACAAAAAGUAACAAUUGUGAUAAGAAUGAUGCAUCAUGCACUUGCUAAAAGGACCUUAACUUUCUAUAACGGUAAGUCUUUUAGUCCAUUUAAUUACAUCCAAACUUGGACUUAGUCACCCAACUUGUAUCGCCCGCACUUAAUGGCUCUUUCUAUAAACCCAACUAGCUGCUGGUAGGUGGAUCAUGUCUCAUCUUGCUAUUCCCCUCUUCUUGGAUGUUUCUUUAGUAGCUAGCCCCAUCCUGGCUGAUUAUUGAGCCUCCAGGUUAGUACUCCAGCCCUUUACUUGUCAAAUAUUUUUCGUGUCGAUUAAUACAGUUUGUAUAUAUAUGUUCUUUUAAAUUCUAUCUUGACACUUCAGAUCUGAAAAAAAAANNNNNNNNNNNNNNNNNNNNNNNNNNNNNNNNNNNNNNNNNNNNNNNNNNNNNNNNNNNNNNNNNNNNNNNNNNNNNNNNNNNNNNNNNNNNNNNNNNNNNNNNNNNNNNNNNNNNNNNNNNNNNNNNNNNNNNNNNNNNNNNNNNNNNNNNNNNNNNNNNNNNNNNNNNNNNNNNNNNNNNNNNNNNNNNNNNNNNNNNNNNNNNNNNNNNNNNNNNNNNNNNNNNNNNNNNNNNNNNNNNNNNNNNNNNNNNNNNNNNNNNNNNNNNNNNNNNNNNNNNNNNNNNNNNNNNNNNNNNNNNNNNNNNNNNNNNNNNNNNNNNNNNNNNNNNNNNNNNNNNNNNNNNNNNNNNNNNNNNNNNNNNNNNNNNNNNNNNNNNNNNNNNNNNNNNNNNNNNNNNNNNNNNNNNNNNNNNNNNNNNNNNNNNNNNNNNNNNNNNNNNNNNNNNNNNNNNNNNNNNNNNNNNNNNNNNNNNNNNNNNNNNNNNNNNNNNNNNNNNNNNNNNNNNNNNNNNNNNNNNNNNNNNNNNNNNNNNNNNNNNNNNNNNNNNNNNNNNNNNNNNNNNNNNNNNNNNNNNNNNNNNNNNNNNNNNNNNNNNNNNNNNNNNNNNNNNNNNNNNNNNNNNNNNNNNNNNNNNNNNNNNNNNNNNNNNNNNNNNNNNNNNNNNNNNNNNNNNNNNNNNNNNNNNNNNNNNNNNNNNNNNNNNNNNNNNNNNNNNNNNNNNNNNNNNNNNNNNNNNNNNNNNNNNNNNNNNNNNNNNNNNNNNNNNAAAAAAAAACACAACUUUGUUAAGUAGCUUCUUAAUUAUGAAGCAGAUAUGUAUUACAUAUUGCGCAUAGAGAACUCCCGCAAAAAAAAUGUACAUAGAGAAGUUUGUUCCAUCUAGUGUUAUAGAAAGCUAGGAUGUCUUCGGGGAUAAGCUCUAGAAAAGUUGAACAUAAUAAAAUGAACAAAAGAAAGGGGCGUACGUAGUACUUUAAAAAAAUCAAUCUAUUCAUCUUCAAUCAUGACAAUACAACUGAAACCAGAAACAAUGAAAAUUACAUCCAGAUAUGUAGACUACAUAGCGACGACUACAAGCAUAGAAGCGAGCUGAAGGCGUGCCGCCGUCAUCGCCCCUCUCUCGCUGGAGUCGGUAAAACUUUUUGUUGUAAACAGUCGAGAAGUUAUCAUACUAAGGCCUCAUAGAACCAAACGUACGUACAUGAUCAACACCAAAUAAGAGAGCAUCUUUUCAGCUCAACGGACAUCAACCAACCAACAUCCUCUUGGUCCACCUGAUUUGUAACUUUAUAAGAGCAUCUCUGGCGAUACGCUAAAAAGCUUUAGAGGAGUAAAAACAUUUUUUUAUCCUCUAGCCAACACUUAGCCGAUCCCUUAUAAUCGUUAGAGGGGGUAAAAUUUUACUCCACGGCCUCCCCGACUCAUAAAAAUACUCCUCCGUGACUUCCUUCGCGUGCGUGGCCGCCUGGCGACUCGUGUGAAGCCCCCUUGUCAAGCACUCCCUCGACGGUGGCUUUGGGCCUCGCCGGCAACCUCGUCGGCGACCUUACAGCCCUUUUCCCUCGUCUGGCGUAGGCGCAGGCGCCGACGCAUGCUGGUGGAUACCUUCUCGUCUGCGACCGGCAGGCCGACGAGCACGAACCUUUCCAUGGCCGCCACGGUCGCCCGGCACUCUUUCUCCCGAAGCAGAGCCUCCACCGGCACCUCCCUCGUCCGGCCGGCGACGAGCGUCCCCGCCCAGUCCGUGACCAGCACCAUCCGGGCCGGCCGUUCAUCACCUCCAGCGCGUCGUCAGGUGCGACUGCCCGUCCCGGCUCCGGCGUGCCAGCCCGAAGUCCGCCACGCGCAUGCACUCCACGCCGUUGUGCAUGUAGUGUAUGUACUCCAGCCCCCUCGCUUCACGCCGUAGUGCAUGUAGAUCUUCGUAGUGGUAGAUCCCGGCUUCAUGCCGUAGUGCAUGUACUCCAGCCCCUCGCCACGUCGAGGAUCACGCUCCUCUGCUGCGCCCAUAGCAGCACCACCGAUCCGUCCGCGAUCACGCAGUGGUACAGGACGCCGAACCCGCCGCGGCCACACGGGUAACCGAAGGCUAGACACGGCGGUGAUCGGCAGCACCGACAAUGGUGACCGGGCACGUGACCUACUGCGACAUGCGUGUCCGACAUGCUCUCCGACGUUGAUGGUGUGGUCGCCAUCAUCGCUGCUUGCUGCAUAGCAAGUGUUUCAUGAAAUGCUUAAGCCAAAUAAAUUUUUACUCCGUUAAAUUUAGGGGGUCGGCUAGGAACGGCCAUUUUUUAAGGAGCAUAUCUGCUCGUUACUCGGCCGUUUACUCCUUUAGAAUUUAGGGGAUCGGCGAUGCCCUAGGGCAUAUCAGUUUCUGGAUCUUAGAGAGCAACGACACCCUGACCUCCUCUCCAUGUGAAGAACAUGGAGAGGCACAAACCUUGCAAUUAAAACCCAAACUACUAGAAAGCUAAUACUUUAAGAUGUAAAGAGGGGAGAAUGUGAUUAGUUUUCUUAUCUCAAAAGGGUAGGCUCCUCAAGAGCAAAAAAAUCUAUGAACUUGCACAAAUGUGCACAUUGGUCACGAACUUGCAAAGCUGAGAAAACAUGUGUCGAACCUGCCAGACUGUCUGAGGGGAUUACCAGCCUUAGAGAAGUUCAACAUAACAAAGCAAAACAAAAUAAAAGAGCGUACCUACUACUCUAUGAUCAACACCAAACAAGGGAUCAUCUUCUCAACCAACUUCCAUCAGCUAACACCGUCUUAGUCCACUUGAGUGGUUCGGCAUAUAUAGCAAGAUGUGGAUCUUAGAGAGCAACAACACCGUGACCGCCUCUGUUUUACCGGCAACCGGAUCUUCCAUUGCUGGCUUUGUGAAGAACAUGGUAAGGAGAGGCACAAACUUUGUGAUUAAAAUUUAGAAAGUUUUUUUUUUUAGGGAGUGCCAUCAUGGCAGUUUUUAUUUGAUAUCAAAUAAGGAUAUAUUGUUCAAUAAGGGAUAGAAUGGAGGAAGGCGUAUUAUUCAUCCACAAGCUCGAAGGAUUAACUCCGUUUGAGCGAAAGUUAAUAUGAGAUAGAGGGAGUAAUACUUAAGAUGUAAAGAAAAAAAAGGAAGAUGCAAUUAAUUGUCUUAUCUCAAAGGAAUGCAUACAUUAGCUGCAUUUGGAAUUAAUUGUUGUGGCCGGCUUAGUGGAACAAGUAAAAUCUCCACAACUAACUUGAUUCCAUCGUGAGGACAUCAAAGGUCAGAAACCGCCAAUAAUAAGUCUUUGGUAGAGAGUUUUGGGCCUUGCACUAGGGCUUUCUACAGGAUUUUGCCCAGGACCUGCCUCGGCCCUUGAUUGUGGGUGCAUAGGCUUUAACACGAUGCACACAAAUAAACUUGAAUGGAUUUCUUCAAAUGCAUAAAUAUGUAAAGCAUAAACUCAGGCGCCCACUAUUGCACUGCACAUUUGCGUUUCCUUAUUUCGUUGAAGAUCACAAAAGGUACAGUUGCCUUAAAUAUUGGUCGGUGCACGAACGAUUUACUAUAGACAAUUGUUCUAAAAUUACCAUAUGCUGCCUUAAAUAGCGCUGAUCUGGAACAAACCUCUUUUUUCUAAUGUUGAUACUGCAUACUGUCAAACUGAUUGCACAUCAGAUACAUCGUACAUGGAUCAUGAGGUCCUGGAGCGUAUACUUGAUGGAAGAGAGAAGCCGACAAAUCUAUCACUUGCACUUUUGAAGGAUAUCACAGAAAAUUUCUCAGAUGAUCGAGAAAUCGGUCACGGUGGAUUUGCAACUGUUUAUAAGGUAAAUUGCUUUUUAACCAUAAAUCAGGCAUAUGAUAUCUAGAGAUCGCACUUGGAAUUUUAUGUUGGCUUGAGCAGUCCCCGAGUUAGCAAAACUAUGUUAAUAAUCGGUGUUGCCAACUAGUAAAUACCAUAUAUAGAUGUUACAUUCGUCUGCAAGAUGCUACUUGAUUCUAGCAGUAUCUGGUAUAUAUUGAAGUCAGACAACCAGGUAUAUUCUUUGUGUCGUAUAUUACGGAAUUCUGUCCUAGGAUCGAACAUAGUAUCCAACAUUAAUUUGGAAAAUGGAACCGCCUUAAGGUUGUCAUGGAGCUACAAACCUUUUUCCUAGCAUAUAUGUGCAUGUGUGGUGGUGCAAUUGUACUGUAACAUUAGGGGUCUGUUUGGUUGGAGACUAGUGUGGCCAAGCCAAAGUGUGGCUAGCCACACAAGUAUGGCAAGCCACACAAGUGUGGCUGAGAAAUUGGACGCUAAACUUUGGCAAAAGUUGGCAAAAAAAUUGUCUCUAUGACAAGUGGGCCAUAGGGGCAAUAAAGUGUGGCAAAAAUCAAACACAUGCCAAUUAAACUGUGGCUACCAAAUGUUGGCUUGGCAAACUGUGGCUGGGAACCAAACAGCCCCUAGGUGUGCUCUCAGGGAAAAAGGGGCUUCCGUCGGUUGCUGCAUCCCAAACUUCUGUAUUAUCUUUCUUGCACAGUACCUUCAAAUUCAGCUAAACACUUUUUGAAUGCUCACAAGAGAAGUUAAACAGGGAGUGGUUCGUAAUGGGAACGUUGCUGUUAAAAGGAUAAGGAACAGUCAUUCAAUCAAUGAGACUUUAUUUUAUCGAGAAGUCGACAGCCUGUUGAACAUUAAACAUAAAAAUGUCGUACGCUUUCUUGGCUUCUGUGCUAGCACAGAUCAGAUAGCCAUACAAAUUGCAGGAUCAAAACGACAUAUUUAUGCUGAGGUAAGAGAAAGACUACUCUGUUUUGAGUAUAUCAGCAAUGGAAGUCUACAAAAGUAUGUUACUGGUACGUCAUUCUUGCAACAAGCUCUUAUUUUUACUAACUUAUCUUUAUUUUCCAGGAUCAAGAUGUGAUAUAUACAUUCAUAAUGCAAUUUAGCACAUGCACAAAUCAAAUGAUGGAAACUUUUAUGGCUCACUGUUACUUUUUGCAUUAUGUAGAUGAAUUAAGAGGACUGGAAUGGAAUACACGCUAUGGAAUAAUUAGAGGAAUCUGUGAAGGUUUGCAUCAUCUGCACACGGAGAAGCACAUAUAUCAUAUGGAUUUGAAACCUGGCAAUAUACUACUAGAUAAUGAUAUGGUGCCGAAAAUCACAGAUUUCGGUUUAUCAAGACUUGAUGAAAAGUCAAAAACCAUGAGUGAAGACCGUCUCGGAUCACUGUAAGCUAUGCAUCAAAACAUCAUAAUUUCUCGGCAUCUUCUUUCACAUUUUCUGAUGCUGUAAUACAUUGAAAUGCCGACCUUUUUUUGCAGAGGAUAUUGUGCUCCAGAGUACAUAUCUGAAGGGAAAAUGUCAUUCAAAUCAGACAUGUACAGUUUGGGCAAAAUAAUCAUUGAGCUAGUGACGGGAGGAAAGGAGAUCCUCAAUAAUAGCAACACUGUAAGAGGGUUCUAUCUCGCCAUGCAGACAAUCUUUUUUGUAGAAAUAUCCUAACUUUCUACCUUGCAUAUUGGUUACCAUUUUCUUAAUAAUCCUACUUAAUUUGCAUANNNNNNNNNNNNNNNNNNNNNNNNNNNNNNNNNNNNNNNNNNNNNNNNNNNNNNNNNNNNNNNNNNNNNNNNNNNNNNNNNNNNNNNNNNNNNNNNNNNNCGGUCCAAUUCCAUAGCUUGUCUUUCCUGUUUCAUGACCCACUGCAAGAACUUUCUUGGUACGGAUCCACAUUGGGCUUUAUGGAAACAUACCUUUAGUUCUUGAACCAGAGCGUGAAGAAGGAAAAUCAUGAUGCUCCGCCUACCAACUUAACCCAACUAUACGGGGGUUGGAGGGGAUUGGAGGGGAAUGAUCUCAUGGCCGAAUGGGUGAGCCGCCAUAUUCAGCCACUAAAAUUCUGAGGCAAGUGUAUGUAGUAUGCACACCUAUGAGAUAAUCAAUGACUCCAUCCGAGUGAACUUGCAAGAACUCACUCAAGAAUAAAUUGAACAGAAGAUGAGGCACAUAACUAUGAUGCAUGACAAAAUCUGUAUGCAAGGUUGAGUGCCUCCUUAUUAUGCUGACCACCUCCUUUUAAUAGAGAACCUGAACAAAGCAUUAACACACGGUGAAUACAUGAACUCCUCAAACUAUGGUCAUCACCGGGAGUGGUCUCGACUAUUGUCACUCCGGGGUUGCCGGGUCAUAUCACGUAGUAGGUGACUAUAACUUGCAAGAUCGGAUUUAGAACAUGGAUAUAAUGGUGAUAACAUAAAUGGUUCAGAUCUGAAAUCAUGGCACUUGGGCCCAAAGUGACAAGCAUUAAGCAUGGCAAAGUCAUAGCAACAUCAAUCUCAGAACAUAGUGGAUACUAGGGAUCAAGCCCUAACAAAACUAACUAGAUUACAUGAUAAAUCUUAUCCAACACCUCACCGACCAGCGAGCCUACGAAGGAAUUACUCACUCCCGGUGGGGAGCAUCAUGGAAUUAGCGAUGGAGAAGGGUUGGUGAUGACGAAGAUCGAAGAUCCACCUCUCCGGAGCCGCACCCAGGUUUUCAGCCAACAUCAUAACUAACCAUGCCGACAAUAACUCUUAAAAAUUAUAUUAACUCAUAUCAAUGACAUAAUCAGCUAGCGAGCAAUAAUAGGACAUCUCAAACGGCAACACGUUAUCAAAACAACCAUGAUAUAAUAUGACAAUAGUGGUAUCUCACUAGCCCUUUCUGAGACCACAAAAUAUAAAUGCAGAGCACCUCCAAAGUCCAAGCAGCAACUAAACAUUGUAAUUCAUGGUAGAAAAGAUCCAGUCGUGAUGCUCCCAACAUUAGCUACACACAAUGCAUCAGCAUGAUAACAGUGCUCUCAGGUUCUGGCGCUUGUUUUAGAAGGUGAUGACACAACAUAAAAGUAAAUAGAUAGUCCCUUCGCAUAGGGAAGCAGUGAUUUGCAGCGGUGCCAGAGCUCAAGUUUUUAAAACAGAGGUAAAUGAUAUUUUGAGACAUGCACCCUUCUUGUUUACUUCACGACCAUCAGUUAUCAAUAUCUUCCAUGCUAAGCACGCUAGUGGCGGUUCCCAGGCGAUAAAAGUAAAGGUUAUGACUCCGUUUGGAGUUUUUGUUUGAUUAUUUGAAAGAUCAAUUCUUUUUGCAGUUUGGGACUGGGCAUCCCUAUUACCGCCCUUUUCUCGUGCGAUGGUGAGUGAAUAAACACUCAUCCUGAGAAUAACCCGCUUAGCAUGGAAGAUACCGACUACCUCCUGUUGUUCCAUGAACGAUCCAGGCACACAAAAAGGAUAUUUGUUUGAAGUUUUUAGAGGUGGCACAUGCAAAUUUACUUAGGACGGCAGGGUAAUACCGCAUAUAGGUAGGUAAGUGGACUCAUCUGGAAUAACUUGGGUUCAAGGUUUUUGAUGUACAAGCAGAAUUCCCACUUAGUAUAGGCGAAGGCUUUUGGGAAACGUAGUAAUUCAAAAAAAUCCUACGAUAACGCAAGAUUUAUCUAGGAGAUGCAUAGCAAUGAGAGGGAAGAGUGUGUCCAUGUACCCUCGUAGACCGAAAGCGGAAGCGUUUAGUAAUGCGGUUGAUAUAGUCGAAUGUCUUCAAGAUCCAACCGAUCCAAGUACCGAAUGUACGGCACCUCCGUGUUCAGCACACGUUCAGCACGAUGACGUCCCUCGAGCUCUUGAUCCAGUAGAGGGUCGAGGGAGAGUUCCAUCAGCACGACGGCGUGGCAACGGUGUUGGUGAUGUGAUCUGCGCAGGGCUUCGCCUAAGCACUACGACAAUAUGACCGAGGUGGUAAACUGUGGAGGGGGGCACCGCACACGGCUAAGAAACAAGUGUGUGUCUUUGGGUCCCCCCCCCCCCGCCCACGUAUAUAAAGGAGGGGGGAGGAGGAGGCUGGCCCAAGGGGGGCGCGCCAUGAGGGGGGAGUCCUACUAGGAAUCCAUUCCUAGUAGGAUUCGGCCCCCCCUCCUUCCAUCUAACGGAGAGGGGAAAGGGGAAGGGAGAGAGGGAGAAGGAAAGAGGGGGGCCGCACCCCCUCCCCUUGUCCAAUUCAGAUUGGGGCAAGGGGGCACGCGCCACAUCCUGUGGCCUGCCUCCUUUCGUCCACUAUGGCCCAAUAGGCCCAUUAACUUUCCCCGGUGGUUCCGGUAACCUCCCGGUACUCCGAAAAAUCCCCGAUCCUCUUCGGAACCAUUCCGGUGUCCGUAUAUAACCUUCCAAUAUAUCAAUCUUUACCUCUCGACCAUUUCGAGACUCCUCGUCAUGUCCGUGAUCUCAUCCGGGACUCCGAACAAACUUCGGUCACCAAAACACAUAACUCAUAAUACAAAUCGUCAUCGAACGUUAAGCGUGGACCCUACGGGUUCGAGAACUAUGUAGACAUGACCGAGACACAUCUCCGGUCAAUAACCAAUAGCGGAACCUGGAUGCUCAUAUUGGCUCCUACAUAUUCUACGAAGAUCUUUAUCGGUCAAACCGCAUAACAACAUACGUUGUUCCCUUUGUCAUCGGUAUGUUACUUACCUAAGAUUCGAUCGUCGGUAUCAUCAUACCUAGUUCAAUCUCAUUACCGGCAAGUCUCUUUACUCAUUCCAUAAUGCAUCAUCCCGCAACUAACUCAUUAGUCACAUUGCUUGCAAGGCUUAUAGUGAUGUGCAUUACCGAGAGGGCCCAGAGAUACCUCUCCAAUACACGGAGUGACAAAUCCUAAUCUUGAUCUAUGCCAACCCAACAAACACCUUCGGAGACACCUGUAGAGCAUCUUUAUAAUCACCCAGUUACGUUGUGACGUUUGAUAGCACACAAGGUGUUCCUCCGGUAUUCGGGAGUUGCAUAAUCUCAUAGUCAGAGGAACAUGUAUAAGUCAUGAAGAAAGCAAUAGCAAUAAAACUAAACGAUCAUUAUGCUAAGCUAACGGAUGGGUCUUGUCCAUCACAUCAUUCUCUAACGAUGUGAUCCCGUUCAUCAAAUGACAACACAUGUCCAUGGUCAGGAAACAUAACCAUCUUUGAUUAACGAGCUAGUCAAGUAGAGGCAUACUAGGGGCACUCUGUUUUGUCUAUGUAUUCACACAUGUACUAAGUUUCCGGUUAAUACAAUUCUAGCAUGAAUAAUAAACAUUUAUCCUGGUAUAAGGAAAUAUAAAUAACAACUUUAUUAUUGCCUCUAGGGCAUAUUUCCUUCAAAGGCUAGCAAAUAGGUUGAGAAGCGGCCAGCUAGAGAGCAACAAUGGUCAUGAACAUGCAUUAUGCAUAAGUAACAUUGGACACUAGCAUGAGUAGGAUAUGAACACCAUGAACAUAAAUAUCAUAGAGGCUAUGUUGGUUUUGAUUCAACUACAUGCGUGAACAUGUGCCAAGUAAAGCCACUCGAACAUUUAAAGGAGGAUACCAUAUCAUCAUACUAUAUCACAAUCAUUUUAAUGCAAUAUUGACAUCCAAGAUAGAUCAUUAUCCACCCCUAGCUACUUACGCAUGGCAUGAGAUACUAUAAUCUCUACUUGUCAUUGCAAACAUGUUUAAUCAUAAUGGGCUGAAUCAUGGAUACUAGGUUAAACAUAUUUAAAAAACAGAACAAGUCGAGUUCAUACCCGUUUCUCUCUGCCACGGCCAGUUCAUCGAAUAUCGUCAUUAUUGCUUUCACUUGCACGACCGAACAAUGUGAAAAUAAUAAUAAUGCAAGAGUGUCGUGGACUAAGCUGGAAUCUGCAAACAUUUUAUUCAACAGGAGAAGACAAGGUAAAAUGGGCUCUUUGUUAGAUCAACAAUUAUGCAUAUGAGAGUCACUCAACAUUUUCAUCGUGGUCUUCUCCUUGGUACAACUCAAUAAAAAAAGGAAUUCAGAUAAACACACUGAAAUAUUUUUGGAGUUUUUGGUUUUCUUGAACAAGCAAAUAAAAGGGAAAAGCAAAAACAAGAAAAACUAUUUACACGGGAGAGCUCCCAACAGGAAAAAAAAGAACAAGGAAAUCUUUUGGGUUUUCUUUUUAGUGCUAUAGCUAACUACUCUAGAAAGAAAAUUCAAAAUGAAGCAGGAAAUAUUUUUGUAUUUUCUCAAGUUUUUUCAAACACGCAAAAAGAAAGCGAGAAAAUAAAUUUAACAUGGAUAAUACAAUGAAAGAGUGUGGGCACCGACAACUGGAAUGAAAUGCGUGAACAUGAAUGUAAUGUCGGUGGUAAUACGUACUCCCCCAAGCUUAGGCUUUUGGCCUAACUUGGUAAUCAGUCAGUAGUCGAAGAAACCAUGGGGUCCCAUAUCGAACGGCUGAGGAGCGGGCAGGUCCCACUGCUGAGGCUCCUCCUCUGCUGCAGCCUGGUUGUUACAGUAGGCUAUGAUGUUCGCAGGCAUAAUCCUGUAUCCACCCCUGGCAAUAGGAUCAAACAAAGCAGGUGCAGGCAAUAGAAUAAUAUCACGAGUUCUCACACUGAAAACCAGGUUAUACGGAAUAGGGAUGUUAGGGUAAUCAGUAGCAAUAAAUUGGUGGUGUUCCAUGGCCGCGCGAUCUAGGUAAACCAUGGGCAAAGGAUAAUCAUGCAAGUGUAUCUCAACAUUAAAGUGAGCCGCCAAACGAGUAGCGUAAAUACCACCGUGUAUUUUUCCCUUGGAUUUAUUAAUGUGAAGGCGACGUGCCACAAUAGCUCCCAAGCUAUCGCCCUCAAGUGCAUGACGUAAAACAACAAGGUCUAGGGCACUGAGUGCACCCACCUUCUCUCUGGCAAGCAAGCAUUUUGCAAUGAAAAAGAGUAAAAUAAUGAACAACGGGAAAAUGCAAGCCAGGGGCGGUGAUACUCGACACCCCUCUCUCAUCACACACUGUCAAAGUACGAUAAAAACCCUCAAACUCCUUAGGCCUAGGCUCUACUAAACCUCCAUCAGAAGGAAGCAAGCAUAUUUCAUAGAACACAGUAAGCGGUGUCUGAUGGGGUUCGGCAUAUAAAUUAAACUGCACCUCAGGAGGAUUAUUCCUAGGAAGGAAAGUAAAACUUUGAACAAAGGUGUUUGUGAGGAGAUGAUACUGCUCACAUUCAGCUGCGAUGAAGUCGGUGAGGCCGGCAUUAGCAGCAUAUUGUGCAAACUCUUGAAGGAUUCCAGCCCCUUCCAUGAACGGGGUAUGCAGCCAUUCGCACGGACGUACUUCCGCCAAUCUCCGGGUAUGGAGACCACUGUCAGACGACUCCCCAAUAACUCCCUUGGAGCUCUUCUUGGAAGCAAACUUCCUAAAGAUACUCAUUUUUUCCUAAAAACAAAAUUAUGAAUUUUUUUAGGCCACAAAUUUUUCUCAACAAAACUUUACAAGAUUGAUAGAAACUACUCAUAGGGAUGCCUAGAGGCCAUAGCAAGCAUUCAAACUACUUAGAACUCCAAGAGCGCGAAGUGGUGUGAAGGAAUAAGUGAGGAGGGCACGUGGGGACCACAACCCACCAGAGCGCGCCUGGGGGUCCUGGCGCGCCCAGGUGGGUUGUGCCCACCUGGUGCACCUCCCUCUGAUGUUAUUUGCACCAAAAAUUCUUAAAUAAUCGGGAAAAAANNNNNNNNNNNNNNNNNNNNNNNNNNNNNNNNNNNNNNNNNNNNNNNNNNNNNNNNNNNNNNNNNNNNNNNNNNNNNNNNNNNNNNNNNNNNNNNNNNNNNNNNNNNNNNNNNNNNNNNNNNNNNNNNNNNNNNNNNNNNNNNNNNNNNNNNNNNNNNNNNNNNNNNNNNNNNNNNNNNNNNNNNNNNNNNNNNNNNNNNNNNNNNNNNNNNNNNNNNNNNNNNNNNNNNNNNNNNNNNNNNNNNNNNNNNNNNNNNNNNNNNNNNNNNNNNNNNNNNNNNNNNNNNNNNNNNNNNNNNNNNNNNNNNNNNNNNNNNNNNNNNNNNNNNNNNNNNNNNNNNNNNNNNNNNNNNNNNNNNNNNNNNNNNNNNNNNNNNNNNNNNNNNNNNNNNNNNNNNNNNNNNNNNNNNNNNNNNNNNNNNNNNNNNNNNNNNNNNNNNNNNNNNNNNNNNNNNNNNNNGGAGAUUUUUCAAUAACAUUAAUACCAUUCACUUGGAAUUGUUUCUUCGGAAGUGCACUGUAUGCUCAUUACCAUUGAUAUGAAAAGUGACCUUGCUUUUAUUGCAAUCAAUAACAGCCCCUGCAGUAUUCAAGAAGGGUCUACCAAGGAUAAUAGACAUGCUGUCACCCUCGGGCAUCUCAAGUAUAACAAAGUCAGUCAAAAUAGUAACAUUAGCAACAACAACGGGCACAUCCUCACAAAUACCGAUAGGUAUGGCAGUUGACUUAUCAGCCAUUUGCAAAGAUAUUUCAGUAGGUGUGAGUUUAUUCAAAUCAAGUCUUUUAUAUAAAGAGAAAGGCAUAACACUAACACCGGCUCCCAAAUCACAUAAAGCAGUUUUCACAUAAUUUCUUUUGAUGGAGCAAGGUAUAGUUGGCAUUCCCGGAUCUCCAAGUUUUUUAGGUACUCCGUCUUUGAAAGUAUAAUUAGCAAGCAUAGUGGAGAUUUCAGCUUCUGGUAUUUUUCUUUUAUUGGUGAUGAUGUCUUUCAUAUACUUUGCAUAAGGAGGCAUUUUUAAGAUAUCAUUCAAGCGAGUACGCAAAAAGACUGGCCUCAGCAUUUCAACAAAGCGUUCAAAUUCCUCAUCAUCUUUCUUUUUAGUUGACUUAGGUGGAAAGGACAUAGGUUUUUGAACCCACGGUUCUCUUUCUUUACCGUGUUUUCUAGCAACAAAUUAUCUUUUAUCAUAUCUUUUAUUCUUGAGUUGUGGGUUAUCAACAUCAUUGUCUGGUUCUUUACUAUCUGGUUGAGUGUCUUCAUGAACCUAAUCAUUAUCUUUUUCAUUAUUAGAAGGUAAGUGUUCACUACCAGAUUGAGUUCCAGCAUCAGAGAUAAAAAUUUCAUUAUCAUUGUCAGGAGGUUUUUCUACUUCAGGUUCACUAGAAGCAUGCUAAGGCCUAUCAUUUUUCUUCUUCUUCUUCUUUUUCUUUUUAGAAGGACUACGUUCAUCAGUGUUACCUCUUUGAGAGUCUUGUUCAAUCUUUUUGGGUGUCCCUCGGGAUAAACUGGUUCCUGAGUCAUCCUACCUCCUCUAGUCAUUACUCUAACAACAUGAUCAUUCAUAUUAUUAUUCAUUUCAUCAAGCAACUCUCUUUGAGAUUUAGCAACUUGUUCUAACUGAGUUUGAACCAUAGAAGCAUGCUUCCCCACACCUCUAACAUCAUUUGAGAUUCUAAAUAACAAAUCACUCAAGCGAGCAAUCAUAUCAGAAUUGUAUUUCAGUUGUUUCAUAACAUUUGCAUUGAAGUGAUCUUGUUUUCUAAUGUAAUUUUCAAACUCAUAAAGGCAUUGGCUAGGGUGCAUAUUGUGUGGAUUGUCAUUAUCAUUGAAUUUCAUUAGAGAAUUUACCUCUACUACCUUAGGUGGCGGUGGUGUAUUAAGCCCAUGUAUUUCUUCAAUAGGAGGUAAAUUUUUAACAUCCUCAGCUUUAAUACCUUUUUCAUUCAUAGAUUUCUUUGCCUCUUACAUAUCUUCAGGACUGAGGUAUAAUAUACCCCUCUUCUUCGGAGUGGGUUUAAGCGGUGGUUCAGGAAGAGUCCAAUCAUCAUAAUUUUUCAAUAUGUUAUUCAAUAAUUCUUCAGCUUCCCAAUAGUUCGCUCCCUGAAAACACAACCAGCACAACUAUCUAGGAAAUCCCUAGAAGCAUCGGUUAGUCCAUUAUAGAAGAUAUCAAGUAUUUCAUUUUUCUUAAGAGGAUGAUCAGGCAAAGCAUUAAGCAAUUAGCAAAUCCUCCCACAAGUUUGUGGGAGACUCUCUUCUUUAAAUUGCACAAAGUUAAAUAUUUCCUGUAAGGCAGCUUGUUUCUUAUGAGCAGGGAAAUAUUUUUCAGAGAAGUAAUAAAUCAUAUCCUGGGGACUACGCACACAACCAGGAGCAACAAUAUUGUACCAAGCUUUAGCAUCACCCUUUAAUGAGAACGGAAAUAAUUUGAGAAUAUAGUAAUAGCAAGUUUUCUCAUCAUGAGUAAAAAGGGUGGCUAUGUCAUUCAACUUACUAAGAUGUGCCACAACAGUUUCAGUUUCAUAACCAUGGAAGGGAUCAGAUUCAACCAAAGUAAUUAACUCUGGGUCGACAGAGAAUUCAUAAUCCUUAUCAUUAAUAAAGAUAGGUGAAGUAGCAAACUUAGGAUCAUAUUACAUUCUAGCAUUCAGAGAUUUUUCUUUAUACUUGCAUAAUAAUUUCUCUAGAUCAUCUCUAUCCUUACAAGCAAGAAUAUCUCUAGUUGUCUCCUCAUUCAUAACAUAACGUUCCGGUACUUUUGGCUAUUCAUAUCUAGGAGGGCUAGUUCUAGUAGGUGUUUCAAGUUUUUCAGUUUCAAGCUCAUCAUCAGAUUCAACAACAUCAUGUUGUCUUACUCUAGCAAUUUGUUCAUCAAGAAAUUCACCUAGUGUCACAUCAUCAUCAUCAAGCAAGGUACUAGCAUCAUCAUAAGUAUCAUUCAUAGCAGAAGUAGCAUCAUCAAUAACUUGCGACAUAUCAGGAUUAAUGACAUGUGGUGGUGUUGCAAGUUUACUUAUAACAGAAGGUGAAUCUAAAGUAGACCUAGAUGGCAGUUCCUUACCUCUCCUCGUCUUAGAGGGAUAGAUCUUAGUCUUAGCAUCCUUCAGAUUCUUCAUAGUGAUAAAUUGAUAAUAAUCCCAAGUGACUCAAAAAAUAUAGCUAUGCUCCCCGGCAACGGCGCCAGAAAAAGGUCUUGAUAACCCACAAGUAUAGGGGAUCGCAAUAGUUUUUAAGGGUAGAGUAUUCAACCCAAAUUUAUAGAUUCGACACAAGGUGAGCGAAAGAAUAUUUGUAAGUAUUAGCAGCUGAGUUGUCAAUUCAACCACACCUGGAGAUUAAUUAUCUGCAGCAAAGUGAUCAGUAGCACAGUAGUUUGAUAGUUUUGAUAGUAGUAGCAACAGCACUAGUAACGGUAAUAGUGAUAGCAGUGAUUUUGUAGCAAGUGCAACAGUAACAAUAGCAGUAACAAUAUGUAGGAAAAUCAUAGGCAUUGGAUCGGUAAUUUGUUGGAUAAUAUUCAUCAUGUGACAGUCAUAACCUAGGGCGAUAUGGCACUAGCUCCAGUUCAUAAAUAUAAUGUAGGCAUGUAUUCCGUAAAUAGUCAUACAUGCUUAUGGAAAGAAUUUGCAUGACAUCUUUUGUCCUACCCUCCCGUGGCAGCGGGGUCCAAUUGGAAACUAAGGGAUAUUAAGGCCUCCUUUUAAUAGGGAACCGGAACAAAGCAUUAACACACGAUGAAUACAUGAACUCCUCAAACUACGGUCAUCACCGGGAGUGGUCCCGACUAUUGUCACUCCGGGGUUGCCGGAUCAUAACACGUAGUAGGCAACUAUAACUUGCAAGAUCGGAUCUAGAACAUGGAUAUAAUGGUGAUAACAUAAACGGUUCAGAUCUGAAAUCAUGGCACCCGGGCCCAAAGUGACAAGCAUUAAGCAUGGCAAAGUCAUAGCAACAUCAAUCUCAGAACAUAGUGGAUACUAGGGAUCAAGCCCUAACAAAACUAACUAGAUUAGAUGAUGAAUCUCAUCCAACUCCUCACCAACUAGCGAGCCUACGAAGGAACUACUCACUCCCGGUGGGGAGCAUCAUGGAAUUAGCGAUGGAGAAGGGUUGGUGAUGACGAAGAUCGAAGAUCCCCCUCUCCGGAGCCGCAAACGGACUCCAUAUCUGGCCUCCCGAUGGAGAACAUGAGGUGACGGCGGCUCCGUCUCGUGGAAUGCAAUAAUUCUUUCUCCCUGAUUUUUUUCUGGAAAUAUGUGAUUUUAUAGCGUCGGUUCCAGGGUCUGCGGGGCCACCAGGUGGGGACAACCCACCUGGGUGCGCUUGGGGGGGCAGGCGCUCCCUGGUGGGUCGUGCCCACCCAGGUGCCCCCCUCCGGUGGUUCUUGGCUCCAGAAAUUCUCUUUAUUGAUAUACAAAAUCCUCGCAAAGUUUCGUUCCAUUCCGAGAACUUUAUUUCUGCACAAAAACAACACCAUGGUAGUUCUGUUGAAAACAGCGUCAGUCCAGGGUUAGUUUCAUUCAAAUCAUGCAAAAUAGAGUCCAAAACAAGAGGAAAAGAGUUAGGAAUAGUAGAUAUGUUGGAGACGUAUCACUCUUCAUCUGUCGCGGCUUUGUCAUGGUAUGGUGGAAUCAACGAUUUGUCUCCAGUCCAAGAGGUACAAAACAUAACAAUUCGGUCCAAGCGAAAAAAAAUGAUCAUUCCAAGUAAAAGGGAGGAAAUUCACAUAUGCGCCAUGAGCUCUUUCUUCUCCCUCGUUCAUAGCAACAAAGAUUUGUCGUCAGUCUGGUCAAAGGAAAAAUGAUUCAAUGAUAGUUCGAGUGACCGGCAAAAUGAUUUGGCGUACUGAAAAGUAAAGAAGUCCAAGUGAGUGUUAGACCGAUCAAAUGUAAUUUGAUGGCAUGGUCAUAGAUGAGCAUAAGUUUUUGCGUCUCCCUUGUCCAUUGCAUCAUCAAUUUGUCGCUAUUCGAAAGGUAUGAAAAAGAAUGAUUCAGCAUCAAUCUAAGCGGAAGGAAAAAAAUGUGAGAAAGAUCAUAGAUGAACCAUGAGCUUCUGCUCCUCCCUCGUCCAGCGCAGAAAGGAUUCGCCAUCGGUCCGGGUCCAAGAGAUAAGAAAAAGUGAUUACAGUCUGAGAUGAAAGACAAUAAUAGCCGAGCAGUCACAAUAGNNNNNNNNNNNNNNNNNNNNNNNNNNNNNNNNNNNNNNNNNNNNNNNNNNNNNNNNNNNNNNNNNNNNNNNNNNNNNNNNNNNNNNNNNNNNNNNNNNNNNNNNNNNNNNNNNNNNNNNNNNNNNNNNNNNNNNNNNNNNNNNNNNNNNNNNNNNNNNNNNNNNNNNNNNNNNNNNNNNNNNNNNNNNNNNNNNNNNNNNNNNNNNNNNNNNNNNNNNNNNNNNNNNNNNNNNNNNNNNNNNNNNNNNNNNNNNNNNNNNNNNNNNNNNNNNNNNNNNNNNNNNNNNNNNNNNNNNNNNNNNNNNNNNNNNNNNNNNNNNNNNNNNNNNNNNNNNNNNNACCCGGCCAGAAUUGUGUCGUGGUGCUCAUUUUUUAGAAAUUUGCUUCAAAAUUUUCUAGAAAAAUUAAGUUUUUGAUCAAACAGCGACCAAAAAUGUAUUAUGUUGUAUUUUUUUAUUAUAUUUUUCAAAAAGAGUUCAAACUUUCCUAGAAUUAUAAUCAUGGUAGGCCUCAUUUUUUAGAAAAAUUGCUCAAACAAGAUGCACGUCUUCGAAUUGAUGGUUAGAAAAAUAAAAUGGUACAAAUGUACGGCUGCUUGCAUGCGUGGAAACAUAAAUUGUAAAUAUUGUAUAGAAUGUGCAAAUGUACGGUCGCUUGCAUGCGUGGAGACAUAAAUUGCAGCCAAUGUGUAAAAUGUGCAAUCACUUAAUUAAUAUAUCAGAUGAAAAAUAAAUAUAUUGCCAAAUCAUACAAGGGAUAGAUGCCCGUGUACAUGCACAUAGUCUAAGCACAAUUCCAUCUUUGCAUUCAACGCGACACAACAGGCAUGUGAAGCUUAAUGAGCUAGUUAGGAGAAUAUUUUCAUGGCUCGUAGCCGAGUAGAUAGGUCGAUCUCCAAGACCAUAGAUGAGGGAGCCGGGCAUUUCAUGAUCUUGUGCAUCUCUUUCGUCUCCAGGUCAAGCAAAAUAAGCAUAAUAUGAAAUUCUCUUAGCACACCAAUAGAGCGUUGGUUUGUCUGUAGCAACACGGCAUUGGUCUUCUCGCUGGAGCACCUAAACCAUAUCCUCAUAUGACCUAUGAGAGAGACUCCUUGGUCCAGUGGCCACAACUUCUGCUCCACAUCGAUCAUGGUCUCCAAGGCCCAACCACCUCCUGGGAGCUGAUGCCACAUGGAGAUGAUGAACCCGUCGGUGAUGAGCAGCCUUAGUAGCAUGUGUCCAUCCGGGGAGGAGUACGACCCUAGGUGGAACUGGCGUGAUUCUUCGUAGCUGGUGACGGGGCUGGGGAGGUCUAUCAUGCCGGGUUCUCUGUGCACACGUUGUAGCUGAGAAUCUCGCCGCCAUGCCACGGCAGCCAGUGGAUGAGACCACCGUGGAGGACGACAGUCGUGGUACCACGACCCGUUUGGAACCACCGUUGCAGCUGGGUGAAGUCCUCGUGGAUCAUGCAUGAUGGGUCCCCAGGCACGGGCUGAAGACUUGAAUAUCUGGACUAUGAUGGCAGGUGUAGUGUUAGUGCUGGUGCCGGAUGAUCUUUUCAAGGUCGCUAACGAAUAACCAAAAAGAGGAGUUGAUGCCAUCAGCUGCGGUGAGCAAGACACACUUGUGAAAGUAUCCAAUAUGAUUAGGGAUGCUUGGUGGCACUGAAAGAAAGGUGCGUUGUCCGGUGAUGACGUCGUACACACACAAGUCGGACCCGUUGUUUCUCACACGUUGACGGCGUAGGAGGACAAAGCCGCCGCGGGACGUCACGGGGUAGUACUCUCCAAGGAUGUCAUCCAGAUUGCACGAUACGAAAGAGGGUCGGCGAAGCAUCAUCCAUGUUGCUGGGGGUGCUGAGGUAGGCGAGGAUGCACGGGGGCACGAUGCUUUGCUGGCCGCAGGUGACACGGCGGAUGAAGGGCGGGCUAAGGAUGUCGCGGAGGAGGAGCUUGCUUGUUGCGGCACAGCGGACGAGGGAGCAUGCGUCGGAGCACGCGAUGAUCUCGAGCAGGAGAUCCGCAGGGAGUGUCCACUCAGUCUCUGUUGCUGAUGACUCCGGAGCCUCCGGCGUGCAUGCAUUUUCUCGUCGGCGUUUCAGCGGAUCCAUCGCGGUCGUGUAUGAAGCGGACGAUUGCUAAUCUGAUAUUCUGAUGAGGCAAUCCAGCCCCUGGUAGCUUUUGUACACCACUAGCUGCAUGUAACGAGAGCUGAACCGGCAAGCAGAAUACUAGACCGGUUCGGAUUCGACCAAUUGCGUGACGCAUAUAUAGAAAGGGUUCUGGUUAUAGUCUUUCUAUGGUAUAUCUUACAUUCUUAAGAAGUUGCUCCUCACUCCUACCAAUUCUCUCUAUAUGCACACUAUCCACAUCAUCAUCAUGCCACAUCAGCAUUCAGUUUCCAAGCUAUACAAUCGAUCGGUACAUCUCUCUGCUCGUUUACCUCAAUACGUACAAUUAACCCGCACGCUCAGGUUCUCCUUCCGGCUUCCCGAGCCGCGCUUUAAUUAAUUUGGAAGCCCAAACGAGCAGGUUGGCCUGCACCCGGCUCCCUUCCCCUCCUUGGACGCCGCAUAUUCUUCUCAUUAUUCUCUCAUCUCUUCCACUUCACCUCCCAGCUCCCCUCCGAUUUCUGCAAUCCCCUCAUCCUACGCCGCACCAAGGCACUGCCUACUGUUUCACGAUUCCUGCAACUCAACGCCGCCAUCUCCUGAUUUGAUUGUAGGCAUCAUCUUUUCCGUCGAAGGAGUGAUCAUGCGGCCAUCUCCACGCAGUCGAAUCAGCUUGUGUGCACGCCAUUCGUCUGCUCUGGGCCCUCCUCGCAUCGGAGACCUCGGACGCAACGCUCCGCUCCGAACCUUCCUCGCGCUGGCGUCAUCGGACGCACCAGAUGCGGCCAUCGCCGUUGCGGCCCCGAUUCUAGCGGGACGCUCUACUCUAGGCCUGCCGGCGGCCUCGGAUGCGCCGGCCAUCCCCGCGCAGCCCCAUGAGCCUGUGCGCACGAGUUGCUUUGCUCAGGGAUCUCCUCUUGCUGAUGGUCUCAGAUGCACCAGACGCGGCCAUCCCCGCCGCGGCCGGUCCCAGCGGGAUGAGUUCUGGAAGGAGAAGCUCGCUGACCCGCUGCCUCCUAGUCGUCGCUAUCAACGCCCGCAAGCACAACCCGAAGAAGAGCGUGAUCAUCUCUUCUCCUCAUGAUUGGGCUAAUUUUUUUUCAAUAAUACACUUUUUUUUUAAUAAUUUAGAGAAAUAUUACGCCCGUUUGUAUUAUUUUUAAAAAUAAUACAGCGUCUUCAGUCGGCCACGCGUAAGCCGAUAGGCCUCAAUCGGCCGUGGGUAGGCCGACAGUGGCCAUCCCACGAUCACUGCCGCUCCACUAGGCCUGCGGAGCGUCCAGUCGGCCGUGGGUAAGCCGAUAGGGCCCAGUCGGCUUCGCGGAGGCCGACAGGAGGCUGGUAAUUAGAUUAGCCAGUGAUGGCGGCCAGCUCCUCCAUCACCUCCGGGUCCACGUGCUCGCCUGUCAGGUCCGAGAUCUCGAACCGCACGCGCUGCCGCCGCCGGGGACUCGGCCUCGUAUAUAUGGCCUGCAGCAACUCCAGUGUGUCCGAUUUGUCGCCGUCUGUGGUCGCCGUGGCCGCGCGCACCACGAUGCAGCCGGCUCCUGCACCAGCAGCCGCCCCGUACGUCCGCGCCAGGUCGUUGGGCCGCCUCACCACGGACAUCCGGCCCUCGACGGCCGACGCGUACGUGGAUCAUAUAUACGGUCAGUGUGUCAGUCUCUGCUAAUUGCCGGAGUUGCUACAAGUCACUAAUUGCUAUGGUGGCCGUCCAAUCACUCGAUGCAUGCAUGUCCAAGUUAAUUGUCUAGGCGAGCGAUCAAUCAUCACGGCAUGCAUGCAUGCAUGUAGUAAUACGCAGCAGUAGUAAUUUGCAUGCACGAGGCUAGCUAGCUCUGUAUGUUCCUGUAUCGAAGCCGCGCCCGGUCAUCCUCGUCUACAAACGCAAAGCUCUAAUCUAAUUACCAGCCUCCUGUCGGCCUCCGUGAAGUCGACUGGGCCAUAUCGGCUUCUUACCCACGGCCGAUUGGACGCCCAGCAGGCCGAGAGGAGCAGCAGUGACGUGGGAUGGCCACUUGUCGGCCUACCCAUGGCCGAUUGAGGCCUAUCGGCUUACCCAUGGCCGACUGAAGCCAGUCGGCUUCCUGGUGGCCGAUGCUGUAUUAUUACGGCGUAAUAUUUUUCUAAAUUAUUAAAAAAAAGUGUAUUAUUUUAAAAAAAUUAGCCAUGAUUGGCCCGUAUCUUCAUUCACUUAUUAGCUGUUGUAGUUUUGGACUUCUUGUGGUGCUUUGGAUGAUUAGUGUUCGUUCAUUUUUGUUGGAUUUCUGUGGUCUGUACUGGUUUGAUGAAGAUAGAUCGAUAUCAAUGGUGAGCUUGGGCCUCUGAUCUGUUCUGUUUGCUCGCUUCAUGAUUUGCUUGAUUUAGUCUUGUGAUGUGGUAUUCGUAUGUUUCUAGGCGCUUGAAGAUAGGUCUGAGGUGCUUGCUAGCUUCAACUGGGCGAGGACGGCGACCUACGGACUACGGCAAGAAUUCUUCUGCAGUUGAAGGUCAUGUACCCCUGUUGUUCUUCAGUAGUUUUUUCCCUGUGCAACCGUACAUGUUACAGGCACACACUGUUCCUAUACCUUGCUACUUUUUUAACCAUGCAGGAGAACUACAUGUCAUAUAUUGAGACAGAAAGCAAGUACAAGGGUAAACGGUGAUGACCGGGGCAAAACAGGGAGCAGAAGCCUAAGUGCUUUGCCCAAGAGACAAAACAGGGAGCAGGGAGCCUAAUUGCUUUGCUCCAGCCUGAACCCAUAAAUGACAUUCAGAUUUAUAAAAUCAACAAGCUUUAGAAGUGGAAAAUGGGCAAUGUGAAAGACUAUAUUGUUCGCUCAUUCUAGAUGGACCAAACGACCAAGGCGACUACAGAGUUAAACCAUUUUUUCCUUGCUGUUCCGAAGAGUUGAAGCAGCAGCAGUCCACCAAUAUAUUAAAGUGGAGUUCAUCUACCGUUGGAGGGGCUGUAGGCUGGCCCAGCUAAGCGCGGCAUGCCAAACCAUACUCACAACCGCACAGCCGUCUUCGUCAUGCCCGCUACAAAAUGCACAACUAUGAUCGUGCGGUAGCCCUCUCUUUGCAAGAUAAUGAGCCGUCUGAAUACGCUUGCAAACGAACAGCCAUAAGGAAGAUUUUAUACUUGAGAGGAGCCCAGGUCUUCCAAAUGCCAUCCUCACAUUGAAAGAAGAUGGCUGGAGCGAACAGUGACUGAAGCACUAACUUCUUAUAAUAGUGAACCAUAUGCUUUUUAUGCCUCUUGACACCACUAGAUACUUCUAUGAUUAUUUGAAUGCCCUCUUAGUAGUAACUUUCUUUGGCUCAAUCGUUGUUGAUGGUCAGCAAAUCCUCAUUUUUUUCAGUUUCUAUUCUACUGUAGUUUUGUUCUGAAGAUUUAAUUGGGGCUACUUUAUAACAGGAACUUUGUAUACCCUGACAUCUACUAUUUGUUCGGUUGUAGAUUAGCGCAUGUUUCCUACGAUGCUAUGCAAUAAACGACUAUCACAUUGGUCCAGCUUUCAAGACCCUAUGAGACCUAACAAUGAUUUUCAACUUCCAGUUACCCUAACAAUGAGAAGCUAUGGAGGAUAAUGUCUAAACAGGCAAUGGUGGAACAGAUUCAAUUGGUUUUUUCCUCGCAAAAAAAAAGAUUCAAUUGGUUUUUUAAAUCUACCCACUUGCUUCCCGUGACUCAUUUGUUCGUCCUUAAUUACAACUAUGUGUCCUCUUGAAGUAAAAUUGAUGAGCUAAAAUCAUGUUCUGUCAAGGAUGACAGAGUGCCAUCUAUUCCAUUAUCCAAACAAAAUAUUGAUGGGAACAUUUUUUUUCACAUCAUUUUUGCCUUUUUUGGCACCUAUCAUUGCAUCUUCUUGAUGAAUACUACAACUCUAUCUCUACCGUGUUUAGUCGGGUCCAUUUUUAGUCAGAUACUUAACUCUAAGCUCUACAUAAAAGCUUCCUCAAAUAAAUUAAUUGCCAAUGCAUCGGUUCAUGUUUCCAUGGUACAACAAAUAUAGUUUUUACAUAAAUUUGUUAACAGGUCCCGCCGCAACGCGUGGGGAAUCAUCUAGUUUCAUCAAUCGUGUUUGAGUUGGAGGUCUCGCCAAGACACACGGGGUCGGACCCUGACUCACCCUUAGUUUGGAAUAAUAAUCGAAAUAAUUAUAGUACGUGCCGGUUGAUUGUCUUACUGUUUUGCUUUUCCGAAGUAGUUACCAUGUGGCAAGUGUUAGCAGCUACUCCCUCCGUUCAAAAUUACUCGUUGUGGUUUUAGCCACGACGAGUAAUUUGGAAGUACAGUGGAACCCAAUUUGUCCAUUCCCUAUCUGGCCAUCUCCUCCACCAGCGAUAUCAAACCCAAUGAUUUUUUUUUUUUGAGAACUAAACGCAAUGAUCUUAUAUUGUAAGAUGCGUGUUAGGUCCAAUGAUGCUAUGCGAAACAAAUGCAUCUUGUACUGGCUGAUUGCCCCACGGAUUGUUUUUCAAAUUAUGCCAGCUUAAAGAAUGACUUUAUAUUGUAAGAUGGAGGGAGUAAUAAAUAUAAUUUCGGUUUGCAUGUCAUGCGUCAAGCAGGAGUCCAAUUUAAGACUUGGACUUGUCCACGUGCUUAGGUAGCAGUAUAGUAGGAUUAGAUUUGCAUUGGGUCGGUGGCUGCUAUGUAUUAAAUAUAUAUGCGGCACAUAGUGCCGAAAUUCGCAGGGGCACUCAUCUUUCUAGCCCUGCCUCUCUAUCGAUUUGCCUCGUGAUUCAUGAAGUAGUCGAAUUCCGCACGAGGGCACAGUAAAAGAAAAUACCAAAGGGCUUUAAGUUUCAACAAUGAAAUGUACGUUUUUUGCAUCUAAAAAUGCUAAGUUUCAACAAGAUUCAGAGAUAUAAUUUAAGCAUUUUUUCUAACGGCCGUAGACCCAAAAUAAUUGAUUUUCAUUGGUUUAACAUAUUUUUUAAAAUCAUCAAAAUAUAUUCAAAAUGAAUCUUAUGUCCAACAUUGUGAGCUACCUGUCAUUGUCCAGUCGGACUCUUCUGUCGCCCUUUCCACGUUGUCUGGCGACAGUUUAUCUAGAUCUACCUACAGGGCAUUUAGUCGCUGAGAUUCGUCAUCUUAUGGUAAAUUGAGUUUUCAUUCCCUCGAAAAUUAGUCGUGUACAAAGUAGGGUAGCAGAUUGUUUGGCCCUGUAUAGUCAUACAGAGAGUACUACUGUUGUAUGGCUUGGACGAGGUCCACCGUGUAUUGAGGAUCUCUUGCCUCGUGAUUGUAACCCUAUGCCUAUGGAAUAAAAUUCUUCUACCAGCGCAAAAAAAAAAAGCGCUGCUCACGAGAGACACGAAUAUGAAAACAUAACUUAAUUUAGUAUUUUUGUUUAAAAGCUAUAUAAUUUUUGAAAAUCGAUAGCCAAAAUAAAAAGGCCACGCGUGCUCCGGCCCAACGAAGCAAACCCACUUAUUAUGCCCAUGUAGUUGGGGAGACGUUAUUUGUCGCAUGGCGUGAUAAAUAGUUUAAGCUACCCACAGUGCGCCUAAGACUGGGCCGGCCCGUUUCUCCUUUUUGUUGUUCUAUUUUUCGUUUCUUUCUGUUCCUUUCUCUUUCUCUUUUAUAUAUACGUUUCCUUUUUUCCUUCUUUACUUUUAUUUUUUCUGUGAAGUAAAAACUUAGAAAAUAUUCAGAAUUUCAAUUUUUUUUCAAAUGUUCAAAAAAUUGUCAGAAUUCCAAAAUUAUGUUCCUGUUUUGAAAAAUGCUCGAAAAUUUUAAAAAAUUCCCGUUCCAAAUUUUCUCAAGAUAAAAAAAGUUCCCAUUUUCUAAAAAUAUUUUGGUUUUUAAAAGAUAUUUGAGAUUUUUUAAUAAAAAAUAUAUAUUAUAAAAUGUUCCAUAUUUCAAAAUAUAAUUGUGUUAGUGAAAUGUCCACAAAUUUAAAAUAAUAUUUGUGUCUAAGAAAACAUUUUUUAACAUUGUUUUGAAUGUUCCCCUUAAAAAUCAGAAAAUAAAAAUUAUUUGUAUUUUUAAUAAAAUUUUCAUGUUUUCAAAAUGUUUUUUGUGAAUUUCAAAAACUAUUCGUGUUUCUAAUUUUUUUCUUGUUUUUCCAAAAAUAUUGGAAUUUUCAAAAAAAAAGUGUUUGCAUUUUUUGAAAAUUGUUUGGGAUUUAUAAAAGUGUUCACGUUUCCAAGAAUAUUCACCAAUUCAUAUUUUUCUAAUGUUCUAAAAAUCAAAAAAUAUUUCUAAUAUGACGCUAUAGUAUUUUCUUAAAUAUUUGGCGCUGGCCAUUGGUUAGCGGUGCGCAUUCGUUCUAUGCUGAUUGACUAUAAAUGAAACAAAUUAUGGGCAAGUGCGAAUAAAUGAGAAUAUGUUGUUUGAGUUUAAUUAGAGCAAAAUUAUGGGCACUUGAGCGCUAAAAUAAUAAAACAAAAUAAACCCUCAAAAAGAAGGGACAAACAUGCACGAUUAUGCUAAUGAAACGGGAUUUAUGCGCAGCAAUUAAUAAUCCAUCCGAUUACACCGUUGUAGGAUAAAGUGGUCGAAGCAACCGUGUCCUGAAGGUCACCACGCAGCCAUCAAAUGAGGAGGCAGGCACACACCCGAGAUGGAGGCGGACUCGGAGGAAAAAAAAGGCAUGAGUUGGUUGCUCGUCAGCACACCAACCAACCCCACCACUAUCAAGAUUUCGCGUGUCAAACAUGUCCAGCGAGAAGACCAUAACUCCUUGCUCUGUGGCCUACCAUUGUGUAGACCCUUUUUUGGAUGACACAUCAAUUAUCUUUCCCGCUGCUUCUCGCAAAAAAAAAAUCUCUCCCAUAACGCGCGGGCAUGUGCUAGUAUUAUCUUAUUAGAAAUAAAAACCUUUGUUUCACACAAAGCUGGCCAAACGGGCCGGCCCAGCCCGACACGACACGACCCGCUCAUCGUAAUCGUGCAUGGCACUGCACGACCCGCCGUGGCACGUUUAAUAGCCAGGUCGUGUCAUGUCGGCCUGUGUGCUGCAACCUGUAGCCCAACCACGGCUCAGGUGCUAAUUGGGUCGGCCCGCCUGCACGCCAGGCACGUAGGCCCACCUCCUGUUUGGCAUGCAGUGCUAUUUUUGCCUACCGGGCUGGUAUUAGGCCAUAUAUACAUACAUAAAAAAUAGAAAAAAGUUAAACGGGUCCUGCCGUGCCAGCCCGCAUGCUCAACCUAGCAGCCCAAGCACGACCCAAGGUAUGCCGAGUGCCUAGCAUGUCCCGAUUAGCCCCGUGUCCUGCCUGGCCCGUCACAUGUCGUGCCAGUGUGCUCACGGGCCGGCAUGCCAGGGCCGACCCGUUUGGCCAGCUUUGGUUUCAAGUGUUUACAUGUUCUUUAAACUGGCCCGUGGUUCAAGCUAGCUUAUAGUACCAAAACUUGUCAUUGGUGUGCACCAUGAUGCAAAAACAACGACAGCAAUGAUCGGGCCGUUCUUGCUAAACAAAUGCCACGGGUAGCUCUGGGUUUUGUACUAGCCGUUCUGCAAGUUUGGAUCUAGAGUAGGGCAGUAGUGGGACACAUACUAGAAAACUUCUUGGCUGUUCAGUUGGCAUGCCCGUUUUAUUUAUGGUGUCGUGCCUGGGCCUGGAGGCUCGGCACGAGGGACGACACAACAAGGCUUGCGUAUCAUGGGUUGCCACGUCAUCAUUAUAUGACAUGGGGUUCAUUUUAUUUUUUAUUGUAGUUUAAUUUUAUUUUUUCGAAUUACUUUUAUUUAUAAUUAUUUAUUCUUAAUCGAUUAGAAUGUGUUUAAUAAUAUUAUUUUGGCAAUGUGAACAUUAUUAUAUUAUAUUUUGAGACUUGAAUUUUUUGUCCCUUUUAUUUAUUGGUAGGUGGUGAACAUUUUUAUAUUGCGUUGUAGUUUUUCAAUUUAUAUUACUUGAUUUUUAUUACUUUGAUUUAUAACUAUUUAUUUUUUGUCCUUUUUAUUACUGUAUUGCGUCGGCGAGGAUAGGGCGAGCUGAGCUGGGGGUGUGGAGCGGAUGGGAGAAGGUGGGAUGGGGAAUGGAGAGAGUGGGCGUGGAUAAGGCCUUGUUCGGGACGAGUGAAUUUUCAGCGAACGGGUUCUCUGAUGACAAUGUCUCUGCCUAGUCCUUUACGAUUUGUGAAAUUAAUAUGACACGUUCGGGACCAGAUGUCUAAAUGCGGCACAUUCGGGAGUUAUAAAAAACCGUGUGAAAAAGAUUGACGGUCUUAGUAUUUUUUCCUUAGAAAAAGGAUGAUGCCUCCAAUUAUAAUUAGUAAAUAAAUAUAAAUAUAUAAAAAAAUGAACGGGUGCAGCAGCUCGCGUGAACAUAGCAGGAAAUACCCGACCACUACUCAACGCGGCUCGGCCUGCUCCGGAACCGAAACAGAAACGCGCUAUCGGGGUCGUAUUUCCGAUUAUUUAUUAAAUAAUCAGGUCGGUGGGUUAUUAUUAUCGGAGACCGCGGCGGCCAGGCUUGACCACCUCGUCGCCGUCGUCCGGUCCGCGCUGUAUAUACAAACCCCAGGCGGUGGCACCGCCUCCACCUCCAUCUCCACAACCCACCUCGAUCUCCAUUUCCAUCCCCUCGAUCCCCAACCAGCAGCGCACGCCAACCGCCGAUCCGGGCCAUGGACGCCAACUGGCGCCCCACCCAGGGGUCGGACCCCGCCGCCGGCGCCGGGGGCGUUGACCCGGGCGCGCCGCCGCCCCCCGCCGGGGGCGACUGGCGCGCCGGGCUCCAGCCCGACGCCCGCGCCAGGAUCGUCAAUAAGAUGUAAGUAUAGACACCCCAAUCGAUCUGAUCUGAUUGGGUUCGCUUUCCCCUCCCUCUAAUCUUAUCGAUUCGAUCCCCCGUCACCCCUUUUCGGGUCAAUUUUCUCGUCGGUCGAUCUGUUAAGAGCCUCGAUCUAGCCAGCGGCAGCAACAGACGCGGCCUCGCUCUGCGCCCCUCUGUUCUUAAUUAGUCAAAAUUCCCCGCUGGGGGAUUCACCAAUCAACCUGUAGCGCACCCUCUUCGAAUCCAGCCUAAUUACUUUACUAGCUAGACUAGAAUUAUAUUUGACCAAUUUGACACAAGUUCAUUGACCAAGAGGUGCGAAUUUGUCAUGGCACAGGAUAUCAUAACGUUUGUUUCACCACGUAGCUAGGGUAAACCAUUCUGUUAGUUUUGUUCCUGAACUAGGGUUCCUCGAAUGCUUCCGCAAGGAAAUUUUGCAUAUUAUGAUUGAUGAUUGGUUGUCUAUAUUGGCUGGCUGCUCUGCCUGCUCUCGUUCCACUUUACAUCUCGGAUGCGACAUGUUUUAUUGCGCACAACUGCUGAGAAGCAACGCGUCCCCUGAAUUCAUUCAAAUUCUGCGUUACGCGUGCAGAACGGAAACUCUGAAGAAGCAUCUGCCAGCGUCUGCGCCAGACGGAGUGAACGAACUUCAAAAGAUCGCGGUGCGAUUCGAAGAGAAGAUCUAUACUGCCGCAACCAAUCAGGUGAUUUAUUUAACCUAUCUUCGCUACUUCUCUGAGCAGAGCACACAAACAUUAGUUAUGGGGUUUUCUUCUAGAAACAGAGUUUAUGGUAUAAUAAUACAGCAGAACUGUCUCCAAUUGUUGUACAAGAUUUUUAAUUAUAUCAUGUUUGAGUACCUUUAGCAGUUCCACCUUUAUUUUUGUGAAACCCUGGGUGAAUUUUUUGUUCUCCAAGUGCUAAAGUUUUCUUCACCUACUCUUGGGAAUAUAUCCUGAUUUUUCUCAUGCUUCAGAAAAAAAAAUUAUGUGCUGCCGGGAGCUAUUUGUUGCACAUCCCAGUUAUUUUUCACAUUUAGUAUAUACAUACAUAAUGUAAGUUAGGGCAAGUUCUUUAGGGCAGCUUAAAAAUUAAGCUGCCUCUCCCCAGCUUAAAAAAUAAUCCGUCCUCUAAGUUUGUUGAGACUUCUAAAUUAGCUAUUUCAUAACUAGUUUAGAAGCCCCAAUGAACAAGAGAGGCGGCUUAUGGAAAAAGCUGGGGAGGGGGCGGCUUACUUUUUAAGCUACGAAAAGAACUGGCCCAAUAAGCUACUAUAUUUUUAAUGUUAUAUAUGUUACAUAAAUGAUAGGUCAAAACGCUAAUUCUAAUCUUGGUUAUCAUCUUCACAUGUUGAAUCUCGUACUGUACCUUAAGCAUCUGCAGUUAGUUACUCUUCCAAUUCAUGUUUCUAUGCCACGUGUCCAUGCAUCUGAAUUUGUUAUAGAUGAAAUAAAAGUAUCUUAUGUUGGAAGGAUAGUACAACCCAAGACCAUGGGAUUCACAGUGGUAUAGAAUCAUUUUUCUCGGACGUAAAAAUCAAACAAGACCUUACUCCCUCUUUCCCUCUAUUCCAGUCUGGUAAAACAAAACCAAUUGUAUUUAUUUGGUUGGGGCGUACCAUAUCACCAUUUCCAUUUCGAAUUUCUGUUCGUCUGGCUUAUUUGUUACAAACGUUGGAGCAAUCUACAACUCUUCAUCAUAUUUCCUAACUCAGUUAUAGUGAAUAUUUGUUUAAUUGAUAAAGUUGUGGUACAGUGUCACUAUCUUCAUUUGGAUUUACUGUUCAUAUCACUUAUUUGAGGCGAUGUGUUUUGCUGCUUAGAUGGCAUUUAUUGAAUUCAAUUGUUAAGAGCUGAAACACCUUAACUACCAUGCUAAACUGCUUGCAUCAGAACUGUUGAUUGCAAGCCACUAUUACUGAUUUGGUAUAGAACUUUACAUCAUUUUCUUUUCUAUUACUCAGUCUGAUUAUUUGCGGAAGAUUUCUCUGAAAAUGCUCUCUAUGGAGACGAAGACACAACAGGCUGCUGGAAAUGCUCAAGUGAUUCCAAAUCAAAAUAACUCCAGUAAGGUGUCAUAUACAAUAAACUGAGUGUUGCACAAUUUGUCAUCUUUGCUUGAUUGUCAAUAUUUUAUUCCAUCAAGUGCUGAGAUUAUGUGCUUCAUUGCAUUAAAUCACCCUCCCCUCUCCAGCAUAAUGUAUAAGAAUUUCACAUCUAGCUUGUGUCAUGUGUGCAUUUAUUGAACGCAGAGCGACACGGUAAGUGCCUUGGUUCAGUGGUCAGACCGCCGGUUCGGCGGCCCAAUGUGUUGGUUCAAAUAAAAUAUUAUUGCGCGGUUUUUUAGUAUGGUAGAAACAAUGUUAAGUACGAAGAUAACAAACGAACUGCCUAGUUAGUUAUUCGACUGGGUAGUCGGCCUUGCUACCUUAAAGACAGUCCGAUUCUUUGCACAUACAGAAUAUUUUAUUAACCCCUGGUCCAGUGCCUGUUUGGUUUGUUUAACCAGGUUUUCCCUGGUUCACAUCAGGUUGCUCGGCUAAACAGCCAUAACCGUGAACUAGAUUGGAACAGGGGGAACAGCCUUCACUGUGAACUAGAUUGGAACAGGGCUUGGUUCUGGUUUAUUCUGGUUAAACUAGCGGUCUGGUCGGUUUUAAUAAUGAUGCAUGUGUCAGCAGUAGUAUUGAAAAGGUUCACUUUUUAAGUUGAGCUAUUGCAAAAGUUAACUUUUCAACCUUGAACCUUGAAACUGGUUGUUUUUAACUGUGAACUACCAAAUCAGUUUACUUUCCCUUUGAGCAUCUCCAACGGAUCCCCAAUAACAUCUUCAGGUUAUUGGGGAUGGAUGCUUUCGCAGAUCCCCAAUAAAUCUCCCCUAAUACUCUGUCUCUCUAUUUCUCUACAUACUUGUGCGAACACUAUGAAUACUUAAACACCACAGCACCAUAAUUUAAAACAUUAUGUUUCAAUUUUCAACAAGUCGCAUCAUUUCAAAUCCACACUUCCCAAGUUCAAAAUUCAAAGACGAAUUCAAAAUCAAAAUGCAACAUACGAUUCACAUAAACAUGAAAAAUUGAACAUAGAGCAUCACUCACUCCCAUUUCCACUCCCACUCGCAUCCCCUCUCAUCUUUGAUGCUAGAAUUUGUGCUUUCAUCAACUCAAGGUACUUGAUUUGGUUUGGAUCAAGCCUAGUGGGGUUCAUGAACAUGAUCUUGUAUUCUUCUCCGUCUUCGCAUUCACUUCCUCUCCAAGGACCCUCAACUUCUCUUCUUCAAUUGCCUCCUUGCGCUCCUCACAUGCCACCUUGUGCUCCUACGUAGCCUUGACCUCCAACAACCUUGCUUCCUCUUCUUGUUCUUUCUUUGCCUCCAACUCUUUCUUUAUUGCUAUUAUCUCUCUGACUGCUGUCUUCAACACAACUCCAGCUCCUCCAAUGGGAGUUUGUUGGUGGUCGUCGACAAGCUAGGAGUUUGUUGGGGCAACCCCAAUGGGCGCUUCAUCAACCUCAAAGCUGAGUGGACAGUGAAAUGCUAUCUAUGCAGACUGACUUGUUCAUCAUGUUGAGAUAUGAUUGCUCACUACAUAUACGCAAACAUAAAACUAAUGAGCAUUGCAUCGACACCAUCAUUCAUAUUUUCAAACUUUGCAUUGAAUUUUAUUCAUAUAGCAAAAACAAAAGAAAUAAAAAUGAAAAAUAAAAAAUA